Molecule: long non-coding RNA, 55532 nt
Filed under: Gossypium barbadense (sea-island cotton)
Lineage: Eukaryota; Viridiplantae; Streptophyta; Magnoliopsida; Malvales; Malvaceae
Description: long non-coding RNA (GBAR_LNC018202)
Source: RNAcentral
UUUUUUGAAGCAAAGACUGGGGUUUUAUUAAUAAAUAAACUGAAAACAGACAGCCCAAAAAGUGGCCCAAACAAAGAAACCAGAAAACAACAAUAAAAACUUCUAAAAAACUAUCAAGACUUCUGUCUUACAAAAGAAACAUAAAAUCAAUAAAAGAAAAUAAAGCAAAUUAAAAAACCUAACCCAGUCAAAUCAAUGAGCAGCUGGCAACCAAUAACGUCUGACGAUUUGUUAUUUCCAAAGCUCCUAACGUUUAAUUAAUAGCAGUCCCCUAGGCAUUCAAUCUUCACUCUGCUGUCUAUUUCGGUCACAUUUCCUCUGAAGCAGUUCCUCAAUCUGGAUUUCUUGACCGAUAUCCUACCGAAGCCAGAUUCUGACUAUCUAGUUCCUCACCCCUCAGGUAAAUCGUCUCUCCUUUCUCGAAUGCGAUCUUUGCUAUUCUGUGAGCAUCUAAGUUUUCUGACCUGUUAAUAUACUGGAAAAUAAGAUCUUGAAAGUCAGAUUUCUUCUGUUGAAUAUCUCUGAUGAUGGCUCCAAUAACUGAUUUGUCUGUGGAAGUCUCUUGACAUUUCUUUAUUACAGUUUUUGAAUCCCCCAUAAGUUUCACUGAAUGGAUUCGUAAUGAAAUCCCUAACUUUACUCCUUCUAAACAUGCAUGAGCCUCUGCUGCGAAAGGAGAAGAAACAUUUCUGUGAAUAACUAUUUUUAACGCUAUUAAGACUCCCCUCGAGUCCCAACCUACAAGGCCGGACGCUGAACUGGAGGUAUUACUGUCGUACGCUGCAUCAAAAUGGAUCCUGGCUGUCGGUGUAAGCUCUUGUACUCUAUAGCUUCUGCAUGUGACCUCAUUAGUUUUUAAGACUUUUAAUCCUCUCUGUUCUAACUCAUAUCUUUGUAUGUUAAGUACUAAGGCCCUUCCUGGAAUGAUAUUUCUCUCAUGAAUAAGUUGAUUUCUAGAAAACCAUAUCCACCAUAGCGCAUAGCAAAAGGAAAAGCAUUGGUCAUUGUUUCCCCUCUUGAAAACCCAGGUUAACCACUCCCACAUAGUAUGGCUCCUAUUGUUCAUAACCCAUGCGAAAUUUAACAAAUGCCAAACUUCUGCUGUUAUAGGGCAAUCUCGAAAGAUGUGGAGGCUGUCUUCGACCUCAGAGCUGCACCGGGGACAUCUGUCGUUUGAAACCACUCUCCUUAUACUGAGAUUAACAAAGUUUGGAAUAAAGUCCCAAGAGAUCCGCCAGAUUGUAAACGCAAUUUUAGAUGGUAGCUGAAGGCUCCAUAGUUUUUUUAUAAAAAUCCUUUGUUUCGGUUUGUAAUAAAUAGUCACUAGGAUCCAUAUUUGCAUUUUGUAAUAGUUUAUAGGCACUACGAACAGAGAACUCACCAGAUAAUUCCCCUUUCCAAGCCUGAAAAUCAUCAUGCGCAAUCUCUGCAAGAGGAAUUUCAAGGAUUUUCCGAACUAUGUCCUCAGGAAAGGUAUUCUGAAUCAACUCCAAGUUCCAUUUUCUGUUUGAAUGAUCAAGAUGAUCCGCAACUAACUUAAUUUCCCUCCUGGUUGUUCUGUUGUUUACGUCGAUUUUGUCAACCCCCUGAAUCCAACAAUCGUCCCAAACAGAGAUGCUAUCUCCUCUGCCCACUCUCCAGCACAUCCCUUUUUGGAGUAGACCUUUAGCAGCCCAAAUGCUCUUCCAGGUAAAAGAAGGUAAAUUUCCCAGCUUCGCUGUUAAGAAACUAGAAUCCAGAUAAUACUUUGCUUUUAAAGUUCUGGCUAAAAGCGAAUUUGGAAAAUUAAUGAGACGCCAACCUUGUUUCGCUAAUAAUGCAAUAUUGAACUGACCGAAAUUGCGAAACCCAAUUCCACCAUUUUCUUUCAAAAAACAAAGAUUCUUCCAAGUGCACCAAUGGAUUCCUCUUUUUCAAUUCCCUUUCUGCCACCAGAAUUUGGCAACAAUAUGUUCCAGUUCAUCACAAAGUGUUCUAGGAAAUAAGAAGCAUGCCAUCGAAUAGGUAGGGGUAGCCUGUAAAAUGACUUUAAUAAAAACUUCUUUACCUCAUUGUGAAAGAAAUCUAAUACUCCAAUUAUCAAUGCAUUUUUUAAACCUAUCCUUCAGAUUUUGGAAAGCUUCCCUCUUUCUUCGACCCACCAUAUUUGGCAAUCCCAGAUAUCUCUCUGGUUCAUUCGACCUUCAAACCCCCAGCGAGUUAACAACUUGUCUUCUAUCCUCUUCGGAAGUAUUUUUGCUAAAGAAAACAGAUGAUUUUUUCAAAAUUUACACACUGUCCCGAUUGAGAUUUAUAUUCAUCCAAAAUGCCCUUGAAGAUACUUGCACCUCUGCUUGUUGCUUCACCAAACAAAACACAAUCAUCAGCGAAUAAAAGAGGAAAAAUUUGUGGCCCACUUCUACUAACCUUUACGCCAUUUAACGUGCCUCUUUUUACUGCCUGUCUCAAUAAGCUCGAUAAACCUUCGCCACAAAAGAGAAAUAAAAAUGGACUAAGUGGGUCGCCUUGUCUCAAUCCUCUAUUAGGUGAAAAUGUGUCCCCUUUAUGUCCAUUAAUAACAACUGAGUAGGAAAUGGUAGAGACACAAUUCAUAAUGGCCUUCACCCAUUCCGAAUCAAAUCCCAUCAUUAUCAUAAUUUCUUCAAUAAAACUCCACUCCACCCUAUCAUAAGCCUCAGUCAUAUCAAGUUUAACGGCCAUAAACCCUUUUUUCCCCAGCCUCUUCUGUUUUAACUUAUUCAUUACUUUGUAUUCUAGUAUCACAUUAUCAGAGAUUAAUCGACCAGGAACAAAAGCGCUCUGGGUUUCAUCAAUACAAUUCCCGAUCACCUUUCUAAGCCUGCUAGCUAUCACCUUAGCAAUAAUUUUGUAAUUAACAUUACAGAGACUAAUCGACCUGAAUUGCGUCAUUAUUAGAGGAUUAUUAACUUUGGGUAUGAGAACAAUGUUUGUGGAAUUUAUUGAACUAACCUCCAUGCCUCCAUUCAAAAUUCGAGAGCAGUAAGCAAUGACUUCUUCUCCCAUGAUCUGCCAACACUUCUGGUAAAAAACUGUUGGAAGACCAUCUUCCCCUGGUGCCUUCGUUGGCCCCAUAUCAAAAACCGCUGUCGUGAUUUCCUCCCUAGUAUAUAGAGCUAUAAGGAUCUGGUUGUCCUCCUCUUAAAUGCAUAUCUCAAUACCUGCUAAAAUCUGAUUAUUGUUCCUUCUUCGUUCAGUCGUGAACAGUUUCUGGAAGUAAAAUCUCGCAUUUUCUUUAAUUUCCUGUAAAAUCUUCAGCUCUCUUCCUUCUUCGUUCAUCAAUCUGUUAAUAGAAUUUUUCCUCUUCCUUUGUGUAGCUUGACUAUGAAAGAAUUUUGUGUUUUUGUCUCUAAAUGUCAACCAAUUAAUUCUAGCUCUUUGUUCCCAAUAGCAUUCGUCUUUUUCAAUCUCAAAAUUCAAGUUUAGUCUAGUGUCAAUUAGCUCAGCUAAAGUAUUUUCAUCCCGUUCGGCUCCUGCAAGUUCCUCAAGUUUUUUGUGAAGCUCCUGUUUAGAUUUCUUCCUACUCAUUUUCACCUCUCCUGCCCACUCUUUUAAUCCUGUUUUCAAAAUCUCCAAUCUCUGCAGCAAGUCACCUGUUGAACUCUCCCAUAUGCCUUUAACCACCUCAAUAAAAGAUUCCUCCAAUAACCACCAGGCUUCAAAUUUAAAAUUGUUAUUCCAUACCUUUACUCCUUUUUCUGUAGUAUCAAUGAGAAGAGGACAGUGAUCUGAAAACGAAUGGGAAAGAUGUUGAACCUUCACCUCUGGAAACAUCGUAACCCAACCCAUGUUGGCAACUCCUCUAUCAAGGCGUUCUCGUAUAUUUGUCUCAGGUAAAUUACCUCUUUCCCAAGUAAACCAACUACCCUCGAAGCCCACAUCGUUCAAUUGACAAUCAACAAGUGUUUUCCGAAAACACUCCAUUCUUCUCUAGUCUCUGGGAAUUCCUCAUUUCUUUUCGAAACCAUACAUGAUUUCAUUAAAGUCUCCACAAACUAACCAUGGAAUUUCCACUCCAGUGGUCAAUCUUUUCAAAGUAUCCCAUGAAACGUUCCUCUCCUGGACAUAUGUGGAACCAUAGAAUCCUGUGAAUCUCCAUUGUGGCCAAUCUUUUCAAAGUAUCCCAUGAAAUGUUCCUGUCCUGGACAUAUGGGGAACCAUAGAAUCCUGUGAAUCUCCAUUUCACACCUUGCUCAUUAUCUUCGACUAACACGUCAAUAUGCCUUUUAGAAAAACUACGAAGACUAACAUCAAUAUUUGCUCUCCAUGCCAAACAUAACCCUCCCCUUGUACCUUCAGAAUCAACUUCAAUGCCAUUAUGAAACCCACAUCUCAUGUGAACUACUUCAAUCUAUUUUCUGUUAAGUUUUGUCUCCAUGAAGAAGAUAAUUUGGGGAUUUUUUAACUUUAGUACAUAUCGAAGUCUUCGAACUGCGUCAAGCAUCGGACGUUCCAGCAUAAUAUUUUCAUUGCGACAGGUCGGCUCUUGGUAGCCGCCGAUGAUAAAAGUAUCUGUCCUUCCAUCUCACCUCUAUUUUGCUUCUUCCCCUCUUCCCCCAUUAAAACUUCAUCCUCUAGAUCAUGAUCCAUUAAUUUGUGAAUCUUAUAUGAUCAUGGUUUCUCCAAAACUGUUCCUUUCCCUUCUAAACUAAAACCCUGUAUUGGAUCACUGGUUUUCAUCUCACUACCUCUUGGAAUCCCAUUCCUUGAACCCAUCUCCCCUAAUCUGUUCUCCAUCCAACAGCCUUCCCUAACCCCCUUAUCCUCUUCACGCAGCCAAAUACUAUUCGUUGACAAGGCUCUAUGUGAUGGAGCCCACAGGGAUAAAUCCCAACUCAACUCUAUGGGAUCUGAUCCAACCAUCAUUUUUGUCUCAAUAAGAAUCAUUAUGACCCAACCGACCACAGAAAAAAUAAAACAGUGAUAAACGUUCAUACUUGAAUUUGACGUACGAACAAACACCAUUAGACGUAACCUGCUUCUUUCUCCUUAAUGGCUUCCUGACAUCAAUCUGCACCCUGACUCUCAUAAAAUUACUUUUUUCCUUGCCCAGAUUUGAUGCAUCAUACUCUAAAAAUACUCCAAUAAAAUUCCCCAGUAACGUUGCUAAACUUUUAGAGAAUCAACCCAUUGGAACAUCAUGGAUUUGUACCCAGAAUGGAACAUAUAUUAACGGUAUUUUUAACGGAUCUUCACCUCUGUUCAGAUUGCUCAGAAUUAAUAGAUGAUUGUUAAACGUCCAAGGAAGGCCCUUUAGAACUCUCUCCAAAUCCAUACUAUGGAAGAACUUAAAAAUGUACCUUUUUUCUCCCAAAUCACGAAUCUGUACCCCACAAAUGGGGUGCCAUAAAUUUGCUAGGGUACUUUUCAUAGCCGAAAAAUUUAUGAUACUUGCUGGUAAGAAACAUCCCACAAGCUGAUAAUCGCCCACGUCUGUAUGCGGUUGUAGAUCAUCCUGAAUCUGCAAGAUCUCUUAUUCUUCUUCAUUAAUUGAUAAUUGGGCUAAUUCAGUCUCCAUGGUUGCAGGAAUUAAAGGAACGCUUCCGCCAACCAAUUAAAGAGAGAUCAAUCGCGGAAAUCGUAGGGAAUAAAAUAAAAGAGAUCAAGACCCCUCAAAAUCCAAAAAAACAUAAACUUUAAACCUAAGAACCCAUGCCAGAGACGGCAGACAGAACCCGUGCCAGAGACGGCAGACUUUUUUUGAAAUAUUUAUUAUAUGCCCAGAGCAGAGAACCAGGAAGCUGAUAGACUUGCCAAGAUGGCUCACUCAGGAAGUCAAGGUUUGCGAAUGUUUAGAAGACCCCCAUUUGGAGAGUUAGGCCAAUUGGCAUAGUUUAUUUCUAGUAAUUUUCUAUUUUUCACCAAAAAAAAUAAUAUAUUGUAAUUAAAAUCUAAGAUCAAGACUUUAUGAAGACUCCUUAAAGGAAGAUUAGACCACUAAACAAUUGAAGAAGAGUCCUUCUUGUUUUCCAACUAUUUUCUCUACAAUUCCUCACAAUAUUUUGAACCUUUGUACUAAAAGUGUGGUAAAAGUAUCAUGAAAAUCAUGUAUUAGGAGUUAGAUUGCAUCUUAUCCCCUUUAUUUAAAAAAUUAGAUAAAUUAAUACUUACACAUUAGAUUAAAGAAUAAAUUAGUCUUUUCUGUUAAAAAUUUUAUCUAUUUGUACUAUAAAAAAUUGACGUAACUGAUGAAAUAAUUAAACAAUAACAUGUAACUUACCAUGUGUACCUCAUUAUAGCUUCUGAUUCAGUAACCUUCACCUUACUUUUACCCUUUCUUCUCUUGUCAUCUUGGUAUAGGGUUGGACUUGAAUCCAAUACUAGAGGUUUUUAAAGAGAUUUAUUCACAUUAUUAAUGAGCUGUGAUUUCAUCCAAGAGGUUGUUUGGUGAAAAUAGGUAUAAGUAUAGGUUUGAUUAGUAAAUCAAAGGGUUUUCUUUUUCCUAAUAAAAAUAUAUAUAUUCUUAGAUCAUUCAGAUGCAUACUUUUAUUAUAUUUAAUUAACUUUUCACCCUUGCUCACUCUCAAAUAAUGAAAAAUAUGAAUAGUUAACAUCAAUCUUCGUGUACAUGUGAAGAAAACAAAAAUAAUUUGAUUCUCCACCUAACAUUUUGUUCUUUUCGUUGUUUUGAUUUAAUUUUUAAUUUUUUAAAUAAAAUAAUAUUUUAUUUUUGACACAAUAUUUAGAACUAUUCAUAGCCUCUCCUUAAUCCAUAAAUAAGAGGAUAAUGUGCUUGAGCGUACUCAAACUCACGUCCUCCUGUAUUGACGAUAAUAUCCAUAUCAAUCGAGCUAAGACUCAAUUGGCAGAAAUAUAAUAAUUUUUAUCUUAAAAUUUAAUUUUAAUUCAUCAUACAUCAAAUUACACAUGUUGUUCAAAUUAAUUUAUAAUUUACAUAUACUACAUGUUGACAUUUCACUAUUUGUCUUAUAUGUCACCACGUCAACAAAUAAUUUAAAAAUUAUAAAAAUAUUCAAAAUUUUAAGAAUUCAAACUUAAAAAAAAAGUUCAUAAAAAAUUAAAAAAAUUAGCAUGAAGUACAUGCAAAUUGUCUUAGAAGUUGUCAUGUUUAAAAAUUUAAUGUUUUAAUCAAUAUUUUCAUUAAAAAUAUAAUAAUUUAAUUUUUUUAUUUUUUAAAUUUAACUCUUUUAAAAGAUUAAGGUCAAAUUUAACUUAAAACUAUAUUUAUUAUUAGACCUUAAUUAAUUAAAUAAAUUUACCCAAGUACAUAUUCUAGAUAUUUAGAUAUUUUAUUGCCCCAUCAAAAUAUUUUGUUGCCCUAAUUCAUAAAGUAAAGCUUUUAUAUUUUUAUUUAUUUGUUGAUCUUCGAUAAAAAAAAAUUAUAUAUUUAUUGACUAGAGAUAAUGAUAGGGUUGUCCACAAUUUUAAGGGUAAAUUACUUUGUUAUUUAUUCAAUUAUUAGUAUUUUUUUGUCACUCAAUUAUUGGAUUUUAUCUUUUUUAUUAAAAUUGGCAUAAUAACAACUUUAACCGUCAACAUUUAUAUACAUUAUGCCAAUUUAGUCUUGAUUUUAAAAAAUUAAUCCUUAAUAUUUGCACAUCUUGUAAUUUGAUAUAUAUUUUUAGUUUUCAUUUUCUUUGUGGCCCUUUCACCUAAAAAGCUAAAAAAACAAAAAUAUCAUAUAAAUUUGAUCGAAAGUAUACAAAAAAUAAAAACACCUCAAAAUCUAAUGUAAUAAUUUUCAUCUUUUCUCAUUCUUUUAAAAUCAACCAUCAUUGCCAAAAAAAAGCAAGACUGUAAAAAAAAAAUACAGAGUGUGUAAUUUUUUUAGAAUCAAGAUUAAAUGUACAAAUGUUAAUUAUUAAAGUUACCAUUAUGCCAAAUUUAAAAACUAUUAAGUUAUUUUUCCGUUAGUAAUUUAAUGGCUGAUGACCAAAAAUUACAAAUUAAUUUACUAAAUUUUAAAAUUAGUAUCACUAUAUUUAAGCUUAAUUGUGUUUUCUUUGGUUUGUAAAUAAAAAAUAAAAAUCAAUCCAACAACUACCAUUUUAAAAUUUAUUUCAUAAUAUUAGACAUUGAAAAUUUAAAGGUACAUUAAGGAUUCCUAAUUUUAUAGAAAAAAAGAAGAAAAGUUGUGGGAUAAAAUGAGUAGCAUCCCUGAACAAGGUAGAUGAAAAGGUGUAAUAUGGAGUAUGCUAUUUGCUAUUUAUUAAAAUUUGUCCAAAGACUUUGUAUUAGUGGUUUAGAUGAUGAGAAUAAUUAAAUUGCCUGUUGCCAACUGGGUGGACUAUUAAUAAUCAUUGUCCUUCCUCCAUUUUAAUUCAAAAGUUAUUAUAUUAUAGACCAUAGGCUUAUUAGAUCCCAACUUGAUGCUUAAAAUAUAUUGUUUUAUGUGCUUCAAUCUCAUGAAUAAUUAAACAACAAAAUUUGUCUUUUAAUUGUUCAUAAGAUUCCUCCUCAUCCUAUAAAUCUAAACCCCAUUUACUAUCAAUUAAUUAAAUGCAUAAAGAAAAAGGCAAUCAUCACUUGCUUGAAUUUUACAACAUUAAAAACUAUUUCACAAAUAAGGAAAAAAAAUCAUAGCAACAAGAAUUCUUUAUUUUUGAAUAAAUUGAAUAAAAUGGUAAACCUCACCUAUUAUAUUUAUUUUUUAAUAAUUUCAUUACAGAUUUUGAUGAUAUCUGCUCUUUUUGACACAAUGUUUAGAACUAUUCAUAACUCCUCCCCAACAUAUAAAUAAGAGGAUAAUAAGCUUCAGCAUACUCAAAUCCACAUCCUCCUGCAUUGACAACAGUGCUCAUACCAAUUAAGCUAAGACUCAAUCGACAACCUACUAUUUUAUUUUAUAUAUAUUUAUAUGUGUAUAUAUAUAUAUGGAUAAUUGAAAUUUUUAUUUAUCUAGAAAGUAGUAAACUACUACAGUCCAACAAAAGAAACAUUAAGAAACAAUCCUAUACAGUAAGCACAAUUAUACAUCUCUAUAGUAAGAACAAUUAUACAAACUACAUUCCAGUUGUCACACUUGGAUUUGUAAGGUCUUAGGUAGCAAAAGAAUUUGGUGUACUAAAUUGAAAAGUUGUCUAAUCUGGCAGCUUCUUUUUGUAAAUAAGAACAAGUAGCGGACUGGUUAAGGAAAAGUUGGGUUUCAACCAUAGUCCUGUUAGUAUUGAACUAAGUAUAUUUUAGUGGGAGAUAUGAUGAUUAAGGUAUUUCCAGGUGGUUGUGAAUUGGUUUUGGUGAUAGGGGUUGUAAGGACUAUAUAUAUAGGAGAAGCAUUCUUCUCUGAGGAUAAUUCUUUAGUUUUUUUGUUCUUCUUCUUUUCUCUCUGGUUUGCAUAGAAUAGAGAAAGAUAGAGGAAUGUUCAUGCAUGAAAAGGAGAAACUAAGGAUUUAGUCUUAGAAAUUGGAAAUCUUGCAUGUUGGUAAGUUUUCUAAUCUCUCUAAAUUAGCAGAUUUGAAGAAAAAGAAGGUAGUUAAGAAUUUUAGUAAAUUAUUGCUUCUGUUCUAUUUGGGGUAAAAUGGUGGAUAAUCAUUCAAAAGGCCUUUGCAUGCAAAAAAAUUGUGGGGUUUAUGAUGAUGAAUGGUCUCAAUUGGAUUCUAAAAUGGUUGUUGUGUUAUAUUGACUAAUGAGGCUAGUGUAACACGAGAAAAAGGCUUUGAAGAUGGUUUUGGCGACAAUUUCCAGGUGAGUUCUCAGACUCAGAUCUUAAAUGGAUAUAUUUUGUGUCAUUCAUAUACUAAAUAUGAUGAACUAGUACUUUACCAUUGCUAAAUCAACUUGUGGUGAAGUAUUGAUGUCUUGUGUGUGUGCAUGUAGUGUUGACAUGCAAAUAUUACUGGUUAUGAGUUUGAUCAUUUUGAAUAGAGGAAAUGUCGGCCUGGUAUAUGUUACGUAAUGAGAUGAAAUUGUAUAACUGUGAGUUAUUUAUUUUAAGUAAAUGAAAGGCUUAGCGUGAUGCAUUGUUGCGUAUUGAUUGAUAUGAAUGAUUGGUAGUAAAUAUGAUCAUGUUGCAUAAUGGUAUGAAUGUCGUAUUAUAUGUCAUGUGAUAGACAGUAUCUGUUGGCAAAAUGUUAAAUAUGUUAUGCAUUAUAUUUAUGUGGCUUUGAGAAGGUUCGGAUGGUCAUACACGAGAUUGUAUAUGCAUUAUAUUUAUGUGGCUUUGAGGGAGGUUCGAUUAGACUGAGCCAGGAAAGGAGAUUAAAUGAUACAAAGACUUGGUGCACACCCGUAUAUGAGAUUCCCUUUGUGUGGGACGUACAAUAGCCCUUUAUGGGAUGUUUGAAAUCCCCUUGGGGGAUGUAGAAGGGCCAUGAGUGGAUGAUGGUCUAUGUAUGUGUGACUCGUAUGCUUUGAUGUAAGUAAAAGCCUGAGUUUGAAUUGAUAAGAAACCGAAAGUUGGUGAGUUGGGUAUACGACUUCUACAAUAUGUAACAUCAUUCAUAACAGUGGAAUUCAUAACCUAAGAGACGGGUAAAUGAUAUCCUCUAAUUGGCAUUACAUGAUAAAUGAAAAGUAAAUGUGGCCACUGGUCGUUUGUCUUUGUGAUGAAUGACUUAAUUACUAUUUGAUAGUAGUUGACUAUUCAUGAAGGAAAAUGUAAUGGUUACCAUGAGAUAAAAUAGGAUCAUAUUGGGAGAGUGAAUUCAUCCCAAAAAGAUUAAGGAUAUCCUAUAAGGGUAACACACUUAUGACAAGAUCACUGGACAAGCAUUGAUCGAGUAAAUUUUGUAAUGACAUGUCAUUAGGGGGAGCUCAGUCACGAUACUAUAGUGGAAUGACUUCAUGACUAAAUGAAUUUAUAAUUAAUAGGCGUAAAGCUGAAACUUAAUUAUAAAUCAUUUGAACCCUAAUUAUAUAUUUCCAAUCGAUCCAUCCAUUAGCUCGUUGAAACCAGAAACGAAUUGCAGGUUGAGUCAAAUGAAUAGAAAUGAUAAAGUUAGAUAAAUGAGUUAUAUUCAGAAAGGAAUGUGGUUUCUCACUAACAUGGAAAUGACCUAAGAAUUAAUUUAUAGUUUUUCGAAUUAUUAUUUAUUUAAUUAAAUAAUCAAAGUUCAAAAAUGAAAUUAAAUUAAUUGAUCAUUGUGAAUCUGUUGAAAGUAGAAAAUUAAAUAUAUUUUCUCAUAUAUUUUUUACAGUAAAGUUAUCAUGAUUUUAACGGAAUAAGAAUCAGGUUGAGAAAAUUAUUUAAUUAGGAAAUUAACUAAUUUGUUUAAAUUAAUUUAUGAUGUUUAUUUUGGAAUAUAGAAAACAUGUAUUGAGUUGGAUUGAAUUAUAAAGUGCUGUGUUAAAAGUCCAGAAGACACUUAUAAUUGAACUCGAUAUAGGAGAGACCCAAAAGCCCUUCACAUUAAAUACAAGGGAUGACAAACCUUAGUGUGUUUAACUAGGGUUUCCGCCUUUCUCUCUCCUAGUUAAACUAGGAGAUUAUUUUUUUUUUCUAUUAAAUAGGAAUUAAAUACUUCUACUAAUUCAACAAAAGUUUCUCUUCUUCUCCUUAUUAAUAGAUGACACUAGUAGGGAUAAAAAAAAGUCACACACAACUUUUGAGAUAUUGUUAUUCUACCUGAAAAUAGUAAGAAUUUAUUUCUAAGUAUAAAUUCUAUUUUCCGAUAAUAACAAUUUUAUCGAUUUCUAUAAGAGAGAGAAUUUUACUUUUAUACUGAAAAUAAGAAAUUUAUUUUCAGUUCUAUGUUUGAUUUGAAAUUGUUCGAGCCCACACUCAAAGCGAUUCGUUGUACGAGAAUAGUGGAGAAGGUCGUUCGGUUGAAAGUCGGGAACGUUAAGGAUCCAUCUUACUCAAAGCACAUGUAUUAUUUCGAAAAAAGUUCAUUGCUAUAAAUAUUACAAAUUGGCUUGGUUUUCAAAAAUUUUAUUUUUUCGCUGUACAAAAAAUCGUUUUUUACCGAUUUUUUCUAAAUGGGCAAUCAUCAAAUUCACUAGGAGAAACACAUUCCACCCCGGAAUUAUGAAAACAAACAUCCAUUCCAGGUUAACCAAGACCCUAUCAAGCUUCCUAGAAAGAUACUUAUCCUGUUAUUGGUUUGACAAGUGUACUUUGGCCCAAAGAAAGCAUGGUCCACGAUUCUCAAAUCAUUCACAGCCUGAAUGUCUUAUAUCUGUAGUACUGGCUUGAGAACUAUUAAAAGUAAAACUCUCUAUGGAAGAAGGGUAACAUUGAAAUCACCUCCUAAAAUCCAAGGGCAAUCACUAAUUAACAUGUUUCCUCACAUAUUUUAUUAUAACAAAAUUUAUUUAAGUGAAUAACCUAAAACAAUUAUAACCUUAAUCUAUUAGAUAACAACUAUCAAAAUAAAAAUGUAGAUAAAUCAUUUAAGUAAAUAACAUAUUUUCUAAUAUAAUAUAAUUUAUAAUAAAAGUUAUCUCAUCAUCAAUUCUCCCCCACUCAAAAACUGAACUCAUCCCCAAAUUAUCCUUAUCAUCCGAAUAUGUUUUUCUGCAAGAACUCAAGUUUCUCCCAUAAAAUGACUCUCCUUUAGACUCAUUUUAUAAUGUGGCAUGUUUGAUAAGUUUGCUCCAAGCAUUGUAGAAAUUGUUCAUUCAUAAUAGCAAAAGUUUACAAACUAUUUAUAGGCUAUAGUCUACCCUUUAAAACCAAAAAAAAAAAACUAAAAAUAUUAAUAUAUAAUAAUAGCACCAAUAACUCUUGACCUUUCAUUCUCCUAAAAGAAGAAAACUACUAAUUUAAACCCAUUAAAAACAACAUAACUCUUGACCUUUCAUAACUCUUGACCUUUCAUAUAACAUAACUCUUGACAUUUCAUUUAAGUUUAUUCAACAAAAUUCCCCUGUAAACUUAAAUGCUUCUGCUAUCCUUCAUGCCAAUUAAUUUCUUGUAGUUGUCGAAGAGUACCAUCAGUAGCGAUUUUGUGAAGAUAUCCGCGACUUGGUCUCGACUUGCCACAUGCACUAAUUUCACAUUUCCUUCCUUUACAUGAUCUCGGAUGAAAUGAAAACGAAUAUCAAUGUGUUUGCUUCUCUCAUGAUUCACUGGGUUCUUUGCCAACUCAAUCGCUGAUUUAUUGUCAACUCGUAUCUCAGUUGCACCGAGUUGUUGUUGCUCCAACUCACCCAACAAAUUUUUGAGCCAUAUAACAUGACACACACACCAAGAUGCUGCCACAUAUUCAGCUUCACAUGUCGAUGGUAUCACGAUUGGUUGCUUCUUUGAAAAACAAGCAAAUGCUGUGUUACCCAUAAAGAACACAUAUCCCGAUGUACUUUUCUGAUCGUCUAAGUCUCUGCACCAAUCACUGUCGGAAUACCCAAUCAACUUGUAAUCUUCCAUAGUUGAAUAGAAUAACCCGAGUGACACUGUUCCUUGAAUGUACCGUAGGAUUCGUUUUAAAGCCUUCCAAUGUGAAUAAACUGGCUCCUCCAUGAACCGACUUACAAUGCCAACACUUAGCGAAAUGUCAGGCCUUGUGCAAGUGAGAUAGCGAAGGCUUCCCACCAAACUUCGGUAUUUACUCGCGUCGACUCGUUCUCUUCCAUCAAAUUUCGAGAGUUUUACACCUGGUUCCAUUGGUAUUGAUACCGGGUUGCAAUGUGCCAUCUUGUACUUCUUCAAAAUUUCCUUUGCAUAUGCCUCCUGUGACACAAAAAUACCUGUCGUUUCUUGUCUAACCUCCAAACCAAGGAAAAAUUUCAUUAAACCCAAAUCUAUCAUCUCGAAUUCUUGUGUCAUUUUGCUAUUAAAAACUAGUAUCAUCUCACCAUUGUUCCCUAUAAAAAUGAGGUCAUCGACAUAAAGAGCAACAAAUAACAUAUUACCUCCAUUCUUCUUCACGUAGAGAACAUGUUCGUAAGGACAUUGUUUGAACCCCUUCUCAUUGAAAUAUGUAUCGAUACGAGUAUUCCAUGCCCGCGGUGCUUGCUUCAACCCGUAAAGUGCCUUCUUCAAUUUCAGUACCUUUUUCUCUUUUCUAUUUUUCAUGUACCCAGGUGGUUGUUCGAUGUAGACUUCUUCUUCGAGCACACCAUUCAAGAAUGCCGACUUGACAUUCAUUUGAAAUAUCGGCCAUUUAAAUUAUGCCGCUUGUGCAAUGAAAAACUUGAUUGUCUCCAUUCUUACAACGGGAGCAAAUACCUCGUAAUAAUUGAUCCCCUCCUUUUACUUAUAUCCCUUUCCAACAAGUCCCGCCUUGUAUCGUUCUAACUCGCCUUGAGUAUUCAUCUUUCUUUUGAACACCCAAUUCACACUAAUGGGUUGACUUCCUUUCGGUAAUUCUAUUAACUCCCAUGUGUUGUUGCGUUCAAUUACUUUAAUCUCCUCAUCCAUGGCAGUUUGCCACUUCUUGUCUCUCACCGCCUCCUCAAAACUUAUAUUCUCGGAAUCUUCUAAAAUACAUACAAUAUGUACCUCAUUUGUUGAAUCAUACAAAUCUUGCAAACUUCGCAUUUUUGGUUGUUGCGGUUCAUCUUCAUCAUCCGUAGUUUCAGGAUCUGUCGAUAUGAUUGUUGGUGUAGCGAUUGAUGAUCCUCCAUUUUUUAUGAUAACCUCCGUUGAGUUAUUCCAAUCUCACUCGCUUGCUUCAUUAAAUCGUACAUCACGACUUACCACAACCUUUUUGCUUAUCGGGUCGAGUAGCUUGUAUCAUUUUGUUUUCUCAUCAUACCCAAUAAAAAUAAACCUUUUGCUUUUGUCUUCGAGCUUUGUUCUUCGCUGAUCCGGCACAUGUACAUAGGCCUCACUACCGAAUACUUUGAGAUGAAAAACUGAUGGUUUUUGUCCGCUCUAAGCCUCUUGUGGUGUUUGAUCAUCCAACUUCGCAUGUGGACAUCGAUUUUGCACAUAGGUGGCACAUUGCACAGCUUCCGCCCAAAAUUCCUUCUGCAUCUUUCUGUUCUUUAGCAUUAAUCGAACCAUGUCGAGAACAGUUCGGUUCUUCCUUUCGGCCACACCAUUUUCCAUGAAAACCGUCGAAGUAUACUCGCCACCUCUAUCAGAUCGUACAGAUUUGAUGUCUCUACCAGUUGCUUUUUCCACCAUCACUUUGAAUUUGAACACCUCGAAUGCCUUAAAUUUUUCUUUUAAAAAAUAAACCCAAGUUUUUAGUGAGAAAUCAUCUAUAAAAGAAAUGAAAUACCUUUUACCGCUAAAAGAUUCGGGGGUGAUUGGUCCAUAUAUGUCGGUAUGAAUCAAUUCGAGAAGUUGCUUAGCCCGAUAUUCUGCUUUCUUUUGAAACGAAAUUCUCGCAUGCUUGCCAAGUACAUAUUCUUCACAAAAUUUUCCCUCAUAGUCCAUGUCUGGUAGCCCAUGUACCAUGUUCUUCUUCGCCAACUCGUUUAGACCACCAUAAUGUAGGUGGCCAAAACAAAGAUGCCACAGCGACGCAUUGUCUUCAACAUCGACUCGCAAACAUUUUCCUCGAACGCUUUUCAAAUUCAACUUGUACAUGCAAUUUCUCUCUAUUUCGACUAGAGCGACCAAACGCCUUUCCUUAUCUUUCAAGUGUAACACCCAAUCUUUCAUAAAUACCGAAUAACCUUUUUCCAUGAGUUGCCGCAUACUCAAAAUGUUGCUCUUGAGGUCUAGUACGUAAUACACAUCUUGGAUUGACCCAACUAACCCAUCUUAUUGUAAAUAACAAACGGUACCUUAGCCUUUUACCUCAACCUUCGACGCAUCUCCAAAUGACACAUGUCCCGUUUCAAUAUUUUGCAUCUCUUUGAAUAGGUGCUUGAGUCCGCACAUAUGGUUGCUUGCACUCGUGUCAAGGUAUCACACCAUGUUGUUGUUGGUGUUGACUUCGUUGUGUGCCAUCAAUAGAAAACCUUAUUUUGCCUCCUUAUUUUCUGUGGUUAGGUUGGUUGUCUCUUCUACCUUUUUUGAGACGCGACAUUCUUUCUCAAAAUGUCCCGCCUUACCACAAUUGUAACACUUAUCAGAGUUACAAUCCUUUGCAUAAUGACCAUAUUUGCCACACUUGUAGCACUCGACAUUGGAAUAAUUCGACCAUCCACCUCUUCCACGACCACGUCUUAUUCCACGUCAAUUUUCUUGGUUUCACUACACCAAAACAGGCUUUUAACGGCGUUUCUAGCGGCGUUUGGAUAAAAAAUGCCACUAAAGAUCGAGCAUUAGCGGCGCAUUCUGGAAAACACCUUCUGCAAAAACAUAAGCCCAACGACGCCAUUUUGUGAGCUUUCGGGGAUUUAGCAGCGUUUUAAGAAAGUGCCGCUAAUGCUCAGCGCUUUAGCGGCGUUUUUGAGAAAGCACUGCAAAGAACAUAAGCCAAAACGACAUCAUUUUGUGAGCUUUGGGGGAUUUAGCGACGUUUUUAAAAAAGCGUCGCAAAGAACCUAAGCCAAAACGACGUCGUUUUGUGAGCUUUGGGGGAUUUAGCGGCGUUUUUAAGAAAGCGCUGCAAAGAACCUAAGCCAAAACGACGUCGUUUUGUGAGCUUUGGGGGAUUUAGCGGCGUCUUUGAGGAAGCGCCGCAAAAAACCUAAGCCAAAACGACGCCGAUUUAUAAGCUUUCGGGGAUUUAGCGGCAUUUUUAGGAAAGCGCCGCUAAUGCUCAGGGCUUUAGCGACGUUUUUGAGAAAGCGCCGUAAAAAACUUAAGCCAAAACAACGCCAUUUUGUGAGCUUUCGGGGAUUUAGCGGCGUUUUUAUGAAUGUGCCGCUAAUGCUCAAGGCUUUAGCGGUAAUUUUUGAAAAGCGCCGCAAAAAACCUAAGCCAAAACGACGUCGUUUUGUGAGCUUUGGGGGAUUUAGCGGCGUUUUCGAUGAAGCGCCGCAAAAAACCUAAGGCAAAACGACGCCGUUUUAUGAGCUUUCGGGGAUUUAGCGGUGUUUUUAAGAAAGCGCCGCUAAUGCUUAGGGCUUUAGCGGCGUUUUUUAGAAAGCGCCGCAAAAAACUUAGGCCAAAACAACGCCGUUUUUGUGAGCUUUCGGGGAUUUAGCGGCGUUUUUUAAGAAAGCGCCGCUAAGAACCUAAGCCAAAACGACGUCGUUUUUUGAGCUUUGGGGGAUUUAGUGGCGUUUAUGAGGAAGCGCCGCAAAAAAACCUAUCCAAAAUGGCGUCGUUUUAUGAGCUUUCGGGGAUUUAGCGGCAUUUUUAGGAAAGCGCCGCUAAUGCUUAGGGAUUUAAAAUAAUUUAAAAUGUUUGUUAAAAAUGGAAAAAUUAAAAUACUAUUAUUUAAAAUAAUUUUUUGGAUACAUUAUUGAUUUUUGUAAUUUAUAUAUUAAAUAAUUUCUUAUAUAAUCGUAAAAGAGAUAGUAUUAAUUUUAAAAUAUUGAAUUAAAUAUCAUUAUAGUUUAGGGUUUUUGGUUUAGGGUAUAUAGUUUAGAGUUUAAAGUUUAGGUGUUACCAUUUUAAGGUUUAUUGAUUAUGGGUUUAAGGGUUAUGGUUUAUGGUUUAAAGGUUGGGGUUUAAGGUUUAGAGGUUAUGUGCAUGUUAAGGGGUUAUGGUUUUAGGGUUUAUGUUUAUGGUUUAGGGUUUAGAUUAACUAGUGUUUUCUAAUUUAUAUAUUAAUUAAUUUCUUAUAUAAUUGUAAAAGAGAUAAUAUUAAUUUGGUUCUUCAAAAUCAUGUGAAGAUUUGGUUCUUCAAAAUCAAUAGAAGCUAUAUCCAAGGAUAUCCCUAUCUUAUCCCAUCCCGAUUCAGUAUUUUUAGUGCUCGGUUCAAUUUUUUUAUCCAGUUCAGUUUUUUUCGUGUUUUGCCUUGCCCCCGCCGUGAUCAAAUAAUUAUAUAUGGAUUUAGGGAUUAUGGUUUAAGGGUUGGGAUUUAAAGGUUUAGGGGUUAGUAGUUAGGGGUUAGGGGUUAAGAGUUAGGGAUUUACGGGUUAGGAUUUAAGAAUUUAAGGGUCGGGUUAGGGUUUAGAUUAAUUACUUUUUAAAUUUUUAUAUUAAAUAUGUUUUUAUAUAAUUGUAAAAGAGAUAAUAAUAAUUUUAAUAUACUAAAAUUAUGAGUAUAGUUUAUAUUAUUUAAGAGAUAUAUAAUAGAUAGACUUUAUGUAUAUUGAAUGACUAAUUUAGGGUUUAAAGUUUAUUUGAGAUUUGUUAAAUGAUACAAUAUUUUUCUAAAUUUUGAAAGGUUUUAUAUUUUUCGUGAUUUAAAAUUUUAAAAUAAAUUUUAAAAGAUUUCAAAAUUUUUAAAAAAUUUUAAAAAGAAUUUAAACUUUUAUUUUUAUAAUAUUUAUAUACUUUUAAAGAAAAGACCCAACUUUCCCCCUGAAACCCCUAACCCUUAACCCCUAAUUUAAAUAAUAAUGAUAAUUAAUCAAUACUGAAUUAAUUCAAUAUAAAUCCUAAUAUUAAUUAUAUAAAGCUUUUAAAUUUUUUAAAGAUAUUGCAAUAUGGAUAGCUUUUUAAAGCUUUUGUUCCUUCAUAUUUUAAAAUUUUUUGUUUUUUUUUUGUUUUCUUACCUCAAAAAUUAUAUAAAAAUUUUAAAAUUUAUCUAAUUCUUUAAAAUAUUACUUAAAUUUUUAAAAAUUAUUUAUUUAAAAUUGAUAUGAAUUAUAUAAUAAUUAAAUAUAAAAUUACAAAAAAAGUCAAUCAUUAGUGGCGUUUACGAGAAAAACGCCGCAACUAUGAAAAUUUUUAUUUUUCAAAAUGGCGUCGUUUGAUACAGAAAUUUAAUUUUUAGCAAAAAUUAUACAAUUAGUGCCGUUUUUUAUAAGCGCCACAAAUAUUUACAAUAAAUUUAAUUUUUAGCAAAAAUUAUACAAUUAGUGGCGUUUUUUUUUUAAGCGCCACAAAUAUUUACAAUACCAAAAUGGCGUCAUUUUCUUCCCCAAAUCAGAUUUGACUUAAAAAAACUUAAAAUUGAGCGGUGGGUUUUAUUACCAAAUGCCGCCAGCCCCCCAAGUUCUGAAAACAAAAUCCUUCACUUCAAAAUUUCGCUUUCCCUCACUUCAAACCGCCGACGAUCCCUCCCCUCAAGCUCCCUUGCCUAUGCUCAAGUCCACCAUCACCGGUGCCGCUUCCACCUCUCUUUCUGCUCAUAAGAAGACCAAGGGUCGUGGCUUCUGUGAGGGCGAUGCUGACCUCCACUCCCGUCUCGCCUCCCGCGACUUCGAGUCCCUCGGCACUGACGACGGCCCCGGUCCCCAGAGAUGUUAGUCCCUUCACUAAACCCUAAUUUUUUCUCUCCCUGUUCACUUAUAUUGUUUCAUUUUGUUUGAUUUUCUAGGGUUUUUUUUCUUUUUUUUGCCCUACAAAACAAGAUGAUUACGAAAUUGCUUUCAUUUUUGCAGUAUGGAAGUUGAUCUUAAUUUCAUAACAAAACUGGGUUUUAAAUUAGUUGGGAAUUUGAUAGUUUUUGCUUAAUGCUGAAACUUGAGCGGGUUUCUGAUUUUUUUAAUUAUAACUUAAUAAUUAUAGUAAUGCUAAAGGAACUAACAUGGACCUUUAAUUCCUUAUAACUGUUGAUUUUUAUAGACUUGUCCAAGUCAUUGAUAUUGACUUACAUAACUGUUGCUCCUUUAAUUCCUUUUUAAUUUGUUUAUUGUAGACCUUCAUCACUAAUGCAUUUGUUUGCAGGUACCAGCAAGGCCGAACCAUAUAAAAUCGGUGAAAGGACGACUGAUAUCAUGCUUGAAAUAUUAAAUUUGGACAAGAAAGAGGUUGUCUCAAUUAAUGGAAUUUCAAAUCAGGAAUUUACUGAGGUGCCAAUAGAUUCCUCGAUGCUGUUCUGUAAAACAUAAAAUGCCAUAUUUGGGCCUGCAUUUAUUAACAAGACUUCCAUUUAGGGAAGUCUAACGUGCUGAUUUUAUAACCAUUUCAAAGCAAAAGAGAAUGAGUUUUGUUGUUGGUUAGAUUUUAUAAACAUUCUUAUCAUUCACAGCAUGUAAAAUAGUGAAAAUGAUCCAUGACUUUUUGUUUUGAUAUUUUUGUGGGAGAUUGAAUUGCCACAGGUUCAAAACAAGUUUUAAGUUAUUGAUUUCUGCAGUAUUAUUUGCAUAGUUUCUCACUUGGUUUAUUUCCUAGAAGCAUUAUAUUGCAUUUCCAUUUUGUGCUGCUUUUAUCAUAUAGAUAAGAUUUGAUGGUAACAAACCAAUAAUUGAGUUUUGGCUUUUGAGUGUUGUCACUUUUUUAUUUUAUUUUUGAGAACUGAAUUGUGUAUAUGUGACUACAUGUUAAAUUGUGGAUAUCAUGCUUUCAUUUUCAGAAUCUUAAAAGUAACUACUUUACAGUGCUAUGUUAAUUGAAUUGUGUAUAUGUUGUUAAUUGAUAUGUUAAAGUGCUACAAAUUGAAGUGUUUAAAUGCUGUAACUUGAAGUGCUACUUUCCAUUGUCACCUCCCCCAUUUCUUUAUGCAUCAAUAACUAUAUUAAUGAAAUCAAGUACUACAAUUAUAUAUUAUUACAGAUGGGGGUUAGAGAAUACGAUCAAAGGGAAAACAUCAGAUAUGGUGAUUCCCAGCCAAGCAGUGGCUUCUUAGGCACCCAACAUUUUGCACAACCAAACAUGACCAGAACUUCUAAACCUACACGUUGAGUUUGCUACACACAAGUCCCUUCCUUUUUUUAGUUUAUGUGCUAUGUGAUGAUUGUGUUUUAAAAUUUAACUUGUUUUAGUUCCUUACAUUCUUAUAGGAUUCACACUCAAUGAGCAAGAAACAUCUCAGCAACUCAUUGGGAUCGAGCAGUCAAAAUUCAGAAUCAAGUGACACACAAGAGCUAGAUUUGGAGCUUAGACUGUCACUGUAAUCAGUAAUUUUUUUUACUACUUUAAAUGCAUGCUUAUGGAACUACAUUUUAUGCUUUCCUAGAAUUGUAAGGUCAAAUAAGGUGUUGAUCUACAAUUUAUACAUACAACUUGAGCAAGUUGAUAUGAACUAGUUUGAUUUUUUUUUUUAAAUUUCAAAGGAAUCUUAUGUAAUCAAAGGCAAUUUGACUUGCUGCAUGAGAUAUAGUGAAAAACAUUGAUCUUCUUAUUCAUGAAUUUCCAUUUUAAUACGUCUUCAAAUUAAAGUAUACAUUUCUUAAUUGGUGGAAUCUCACUUUUGCUGUUGCUACAAUCUCUAACCAAAGAAUGGAGUGAUGUAUGUACUGAUAACAGUUCUAAAGGAUUUGAUUAAGUAGGUAAAGGGCUAGGAAUGGAUUUGUGGCAUUUUAAUAAUAAUUUUUUUUUAUUUUCCAUGACCUUUAGCGGCAUUUUUGGGGAAAGCGUCGUUAAAGGUCUUGUUCUUUAGCGGCAUUUUUGAAAAAAGCGCUGUUAAAGGUCUUGUUCUUUAGUGACGUUUUUGGAAAAGCGCCGCUAAAGGUCUUGUUCUUUAGCGGCGUUUUUGGGAAAGCGCUGCUAAAGGUCUUGUUCUUUAGCGGCGUUUUUGGGAAAGCGCCACUAAAGGUCACGACCUUUAGCGGCGUUUAUUUUUAAAAACGCCGCAAAUGUUAGCAACGUUGCCAAUAGUGGCAUUUUUUACGGUGUUUGUGAAAGCGCCGCAAAUACUUUUAGCAGCGCUAAAGGCCUAAAAAAACGCUGCUAAAAACCUGUUUUUGUGUAGUGUUUGAAUGCUCAUUCUCCUCAUAAUUCCCUUCUUGACCUCGGCCUUUUGCACCACGACCAUUUCCUCGAUCUCCACGACCAUGACCUCUACCUCGAAAGCUCUGAGAAUAGAGAAAUUUUUCGUCUUUGAUUGAUGCUUUGGUUUGAAGUGCUUGCUCGAAUGUCUCAUCUUUUUUCUUCUUCUUACGUUGUUCAUGUGCCUCGAGAGAACAGACAAGUUCAUCGACUGUGAGCGUUGCUAGAUCCUUUGACUCUUUUAUGGCACAUACGACAUUUUCGAAACUGUCAGUUAAUGAUCUCAAAAUCUUCUCUACAACUCGUGCAUCGGUUAACGUUUUUCGUUUCGGUUGAGUUGGUUCACCACGAUUUGAACACGCGUGAUGUAGUCGGAGGCACUUUCCGAUUCUUUCAUCGUCAUUCCUUCCAGCUCACCACGAAGAGUUUGAAGGCGGACUUGUUUAACUCGGUCGGCUCCUUUGUACACCUUUGCUAAAAUGUCCCACGCUUCUUUUGAAGUUGUCGCACUUUCAAUCUUCUCAAAGCCCGACUCAUCAACAGCUCGAAAUAACAUGUACAAUGCUAUCUUAUCUUUCGAUUACAUUUCUUUCAACGCCUUGUUUUGAGCCGCCGUAUAUCCCGCAGUAGUUGUCAGUUCUACGAAACCUUCUUGGACCACCUCCCAACCAUCUUGAGACCCGAGAAGAGCUUUCAUUUGGUUGCUCCAAUUCUCAUAGUUCACCUUUGUUAGUCGAGGCAGUGGCACAUUACUAGUCACACUCUCCAUAGCUCUGAUACCAAAUUAUAGAAAUUGUUCAUUCAUGAUUUCAAAAGCUUACAAACUAUUUAUAGGCUAUCGUCUACCCUUUAAAACAAAAAAAAACUAAAAAUAUUAAUAUAUAAUAAUAGCACCAAUGACUCUUGACCUUUCAUUCUCCUAAAAGAAAAAACUACUAAUUUAAACCCAUUAAAAACAACAUAACUCUUGACCUUUCAUAUAACAUAACUCUUGACAUUUCAUUUAAUUUUAUUCAACAAGCAUAAGCAAUAAUUAUAUAGGCAAGUCCUCUUGUAUAAUAUCUUUAAACCCUUAGAAUAAUAUUUGUGCAUCUUCAGAGACUGGUUUCUCUAUCAGUAUCUUCAUCUUUUUGACAAUUCUUUUUCCAGUUACCUUCUCCUUCCUAUCAUUGUCAACUACCAAGUUAUAAAUAUUACCAUCAAUGGUGUAUUUGGUUUGGAAAUGCUAGUCAUACUAGCUCAUAUCUUUCUUUUUCUGAGACUAGCAACAUCUUUCAAAAAAACAUAAAUCUAGCUCAAAAUCUUUGCCAUCACUCCCACCUUCAAGCCUACAUGUCAUCUUUUCUCCCUCUUUAUAAUCUUCUCGCUCUACUAUAUUAUUACUCUUUUUUUUUAGGCAAUCACUCUAAAGAUGCCCAAUUUAAUUGCAACAGAAGCAUUUUUCCUAUGGUUGGCUUGGCAUAUAAAUUUUUUUGUGUGCUUUUGGGUACCCUGCACUAGCUUUUUGUUGUCUUUUUUAUCACCGACAUGUUUCUCUACUUGUUUUUGUGCAUUAUAGAUGGAUAUAUUCUUGUAUGUCACCAUUUAUCAUAUUAAUGGAGGUGAUUUUUCUUAGUCAAUUUUGCCUUCUACUCUUGCACCAUCAUUAUUGCCUUUAACACCAUAUUUCGUGCUCCAACAAUGUUUGCCAACAUUUGCACAACAAUAUUGUCUUAGGUUACAAGCCUUAGCCUAUUGAGGUAUUUGUAUACCUAUUGGCUAUUGGACUCCUUCAGAUGUGUUUUUGCAAGCUUCAUGAACUCCAUAGUGUAGUUGUUGUAAUAGCCCGAUUUUAGGCUUAGUCGGAACAGUGGUUUCGGGACCACAAAUCCGACUGUAAUGGCUUGAAUUUUCAGAGGUGUCGGAACGGUGAUUCGAGAUCACUAAAUUCGACAAAUGGGUAGAAAAUAUUAUUAAUUUAGUAAGUAUAAGUUAAAUAUGAAGUUAGGAAAAUUUUUGAAAUAGUGAAUAGUGCACUAGAAAUAAAUAUUAAAAUAAUUAGAAUCGAAAUGAGGUAUCAAGACCUCGGGGAUUUUAAACUGAGCCAUAAAUAUUUUUAUAAAUAUUUAUGGAGUGUUAAAAAGUUAGUAUUAAAGUUUCGUUAAGAAAUUUUAAAGUUCCGAUAAUUAAUUGAACAAAAAGGACUAAAUUGUAACGAAUGCAAAAUUUUGGGAAAUGAUUAAAUAGCUUAAAUGAUAAAAGGAAGAGGGCUUAAAAAGCAAAUAGACCCAAGGUCUAUUUGGGCUGGACGGCAGAGGCAUGAAAUCAGCAAGAAAGUAAGGAGAAUUAAGGGCAAAAUUGGAAAAUUGCAAAAUUUGCUUAAUAAAGUUAGGACCCAAGUGGAAUUAUCUAGAUUUCUCUUCAUUUUUCUGAAUUCUCAUCAGCUAAAACACCAUGGAAGGGCUUCUUCAAGCUGGUUCUUCAUAUUUUUAUUACAAGUAAGUUCAAUUCUUGACUAUUUCUUGAAAGUUUUAAUUUUGAUGAAAUUUUAUAACUCGGUUAAAUACGUUUACAAGUGUAUGUGUUUUGGUAAUGCCUCGUACCCUAUUCCGGUGUUGGAUACGGGUAAAGGGUGUUACAUUUAGUGGUAUCAGAGCUACGGUUUAGUCGGUUCUCGGACCAAACGUAGCAUAUGUGAGCCUAGCUAUACAUGCCACGUUAUUACUCUUGAUGAUGUGAUAUCUCCGGGCUCUAACGAAAUUGCUUUGUUAAGACAGAGAUGAUUUUCAAUCGAGCUAUUUUCGAUAAUGCUAAAAAUGAUAUUGAGAUAAAUGAAAUAUGCUCACAUUAUGUUGGAAUUUGGAAAGGUAAGUAUAAAAAUUUGUGAUAUGGAUGUGUUCAUGUAUGAAAAGAGAUGACUAUAAGUAAAAAAAAAAAAGUUUAUGUUGUGAUAAGCUCAUCCAAGUAUGUUGGUGAUUAUAUAAUGCUAUGUGCUCAACAUAUUUGAUUAAGUGAAUAUGAUAAGCAAAUUUACUUAAAUAGAUGGAACGUGUGUAUGUACAUCUGCUUGAAUAAGUGAAAUUAGUAUGUUCAUAUGAUAGAAUCUUAUGUUUAAUUGUUAAAUUAAAGAUAAUAAGAUAUUUUGUUUUAUGUCUAAACCAUGAAUAUUAUAAUAGUAUGAAAAAUUGAAUUGGAAGUCAAAUUGAGUAGAACGCAGGAAUGAGUACUUUCGUUCAGUGAUAUGUGAUGAAUUGACGGAAAAGACCAUGGUUUGACCAUGGCAACAUGUGAACAUGUGAUUAUGUGAUUCCGUGUAAGACCAUAGCUGGGCUAUGGCAUCGGUAAGUGAUAUGUGAUUUCGUGUAAGACCAUAGCUGGGCUAUGGCAUCGGUAUGUGAUUUGUGAUUACGUGUAAGACCAUAGUUGGACUAUGGCAUCAAGAAAACGAAGUACUCAAUUCCGUAAGACGUUCUCUAAUUUGGCAAAUAUCGGUAAGUAAAAUAGAAGCCAAGUAUUGGAAUUUAAUUAGAUAUUAACAUUGAGCUUGAGUAAGUAAAUUCGUUGUGUGAAAUUGUGAGUGACAGAAAACAUUUGUAAUAAAUAGAUGUGUUAAUUUGCUUGGAAUGAAUUACGUGGUUUUGAUGGUAUUACAUUGAUGAUGAAUACAAAAUCAUAUAUAUAUAUGUAUCUAUGAGAGCAAGUUGAAAGAUUUAUGACUUCACCAUCACCCCCUUAUCAGUAUUGUUCUAUGACGAAAAUUAUCUUGAUGAGACAGAUAUGUUUUUCAACUGAGUUAAUUCUAAUAGUAUAGAAAUAAAUACUAAAAUGUUUGAGUGAAAAUGUAUUGAUUAUGAGUUGAAACUCAUAAAAGUAUGGAUCAAAGAAUAAAACAUUUUUUUUAUUGAUGAAUGUUAUAAUUAUACAAGCAUAUGAGUUAUGAUAUUUGGAUUAUGAUGCUAUAUAGAAAUUUUGAUUGUGAAUUAGUGAUUUGAGUUAGAAUUUUGUGUUGAGAACAAAAGUGAUUAAAAGCAAAUGUUUAUUAAAUGCUUUGAGAAUGUGAACUUAGUAAUGAAUUGGCUAUUUGUGAUGGUAUGUGUUAUGCGCAUUUAUGUGUAAGAUAAAUUUGAGGCUUUACUACACUCACCCCCAUAUUAGUAAAAUGUUACAAUGAAAUUUGUGAGAUUUUGGUUGAAUAAGCUUACGAGUGUAGUGUUACAGAAGUUCGUGUACGGAAGAAUAAUAAUGUGGUCGGAAAAGUGAAUGAAUUAGAAAAUGAGGACAAUAUAAAAAGAGAGAAAUAUUUGAUAGUUCUGAAAACUACUCAGAUUAUCAAAAUGGAUAUCAUUCUAUAUGGAUUGUAAUUUUUCGAUACUUUGUGUAGCUUCAGAUGCUGAAAUAUCGCUAUCCUGAUUUUCUUAUGAAUCUAUGUGAUUAUCUGUAAAAGAUAUGAAAAUCCAAAAUCAUGUGCGAAUUUGAAAUAUACUGUGGAAGUAAAUCAUUAACCUACCAUCUGGUAAGAUUUUCGGGGACGAAAAUCCCUAAAGGGGGGAGAGUUGUAAUAGCCCGAUUUUAGGCUUAGUCGGAACAGUGGUUUCGGGACCACAAAUCCGACUGUAAUGGCUUAAAUUUUCAGAGGUGUCGGAACGGUGAUUCGAGAUCACUAAAUUCGACAAAUGGGUAGAAAAUAUUAUUAAUUUAGUAAGUAUAAGUUAAAUAUGAAGUUAGGAAAAUUUUUGAAAUAGUGAAUAGUGCACUAGAAAUAAAUAUUAAAAUAAUUAGAAUCGAAAUGAGGUAUCAAGACCUCGGGGAUUUUAAACUGAGCCAUAAAUAUUUUUAUAAAUAUUUAUGGAGUGUUAAAAAGUUAGUAUUAAAGUUUCGUUAAGAAAUUUUAAAGUUCCGAUAAUUAAUUGAACAAAAAGGACUAAAUUGUAACAAAUGCAAAAUUUUGGGAAAUGAUUAAAUAGCUUAAAUGAUAAAAGGAAGAGGGCUUAAAAAGCAAAUAGACCCAAGGUCUAUUUGGGCUGGACGGCAGAGGCAUGAAAUCAGCAAGAAAGUAAGGAGAAUUAAGGGCAAAAUUGGAAAAUUGUAAAAUUUGCUUAAUAAAGUUAGGACCCAAGUGGAAUUAUCUAGAUUUCUCUUCAUUUUUCUGAAUUCUCAUCAGCUAAAACACCAUGGAAGGGCUUCUUCAAGCUGGUUCUUCAUAUUUUUAUUACAAGUAAGUUCAAUUCUUGACUAUUUCUUGAAAUUUUUGUAUUUUUAUGACUUUUACAACUAGGCCCACUUGUUAAAUUCAUUAGUUUUUGAUUUUAUGAAAGAAGUUGAAAGUUGAUAUGAAUAUGUGCUGGAAUUAUAUGAUGAUUUAGCAUGAAAUUAGAGCUUUAAAUUGUUCAUAUGCUGAUUUUAUUGAAAGAAUUGAAUAGAAAGUGAAUGUUUGGGGACCUAAUAGUAAAAGAGUUUGAAGAUAGAGUUAUAUAUGGAAAUUCUGAAUUUCAAUAGUUGUGUAACAACUUAUAAUGUCUAGUAAAGUACUAAUUGAGAAAAUUAGAUUAAUUGAGGGGUUAAUUGAGAAAGGACCGAAUUGUAUAAACUGUGAAAUUUGGGGCAAAAUGGAAAUCAACAUUUUGCACUAAAGCAGUUUUGGACAGCAGCAGUAGUGUAACUUUGAAAAAUCACCAAAAAUUGUAGAGAUUGAAUUAGAGGAUGAAUAAAAUAUGAAAUUAAAGCUUAUUGAGUCUAGUUUCUUAUAAAAGAAAUGAUGUGAGCAAUGGAAUUGUAAAUCAUGAGAUAUAAUAGAUUUUGUGAGACAAGGUCAGAAUGAAUUCGGGUUCCCCUGUUCUGAUUUUGGAAAAUCAUUAAAAAUUCUACAGAAAUUAUUAUGAGUUAUAGUUUAUAUGGUUAGAAUCCUUAAUGAGUCUAUUUUUAGAAGAAACAAGCUAAAACAUCAUCCGAAUUCUGUACAAUGAGAUAAUUAAUUUUUAGUGAAGAGUGGUCGGAACUGUCAGACAGCGAAACAGGGGAAACUUUAAAGAAUAAACUGUACUAUUUGGCUGAACCAAAAAUUAUGAAAAUUUUAUGGUAUGAAGAUAUGUGAGUCUAGUUUCAGGGAAAAUUAACGUAUCUUAAUUUGGAGCUUUGUAGCUCCGGAUAAAAAUAAUUUAGUGACUCUGACUCGGAUAAACAGCUUUGAAUAUACAUGUUAGUGAAUAUUGAAAUUAUGGUUAAUGUUGUUUAAGUGUGUUAUACACAUUAAGGAUGUGGAAUGGAGAGGAGGAGGAGGAAAAUUGGGAAAUAUAUGAAUGAUUCGUGUAUAAAUGGUCAUAUGUUUGAUUAUAACUCAUAAACGAUGAAAUAUGAAUGAUGCUUAUUUUUGUGCAUUAUUGGUCAUGGUUUAAGCUCAUGUGUGAAAAUAAAGUUUCAUAGUAUGUGUGUAUGGUAUAUUCAGUAUAUGAUUUGGCAUGAAAUAAUACCAUGAAUGGUUUAUGAAUUAACACAUGUUGGUAAGCCUGAUAUAUGAAUAAAUGAUCAAAUUGAGCGGAACGCCGGAUUUGAGUACUUCUGAUCAAGUGAUAAAGUGAUAAGUGAUAGCUUCGGCUAUACUUAUCUGAUCAAGUGACAAAGUGAUAAGUGGCUACACUUAUCUGAUCAAGAAACAAAGUGAUAAGUGGCUACACUUAUGUGAUCAAGAAACAAAGUGAUAGGUGGCUACACUUAUCUGAUCAGGGACAAGUGAUAAGUGAUCAUACGUAAGACCAUAGUUAUACUAUGGCAAAGUGAAAGUGAAGUACUCAAUUUUUUCCGUGACCGUUCCCUAAUUUGAUUAAAGAUGGUAAGUGACAAAUGGGCCCAAAAGAAUUAAAGUAAAUGGAUAAGUGGUAGUGUAUUUAUAUCAGGACGAUGUUGUUAUUCAAACUAAAGUGAUAUUUUCAUUGCUAAAUUGAGAAUUUCAUAAAUGUGUUAUUGAAUGGUAUAAUCAAUAAACAUUGAGUUAAACGGUAAAUACGUAUUAGUUUUGAAUUUGAUGUCAUUGAAUUGUACGUGAAUUAAAUGAAAAUUUCUAGUGAUAUGAUUUAAAUUAUGAGCAUGAGAAAUUGCGAAUUGAAUGAAAUGGAAAUGAAGCAUUAAAUUGCAUGAGUAUGUAUCGGGUCUCACAGGCCCUAAUUAUUAUGAUUAUAAUAUUUUAAGGAUAUAUUGUGAAAAGUUAUAGAAACAUGUUAAUUAUUUUUGAAAGUUUUAAUUUUGAUGAAAUUUUAUAACUCGGUUAAAUACGUUUACAAGUGUAUGUGUUUUGGUAAUGCCUCGUACCCUAUUCCGGUGUUGGAUACGGGUAAAGGGUGUUACAGUUGUGCACCAAUCUAUUUCCUUUGGUACACCAUUGAUAUUGCAAGAAUAAAUAUUGCUCAUAAUUCAUGUAUAAAAAUGGAGCCUUGAGCAAUUGCUUCAUUUUGCACCAUGGUCGCUCCAUAUGCUAUUAAUCUUGCCAUUAAUAUUACAGGAAUAGAUAUUGCUCAUAAUUCAUGGAUAAAAAUCUAGUAUCUUAUAAAUAUUCUCACCAAGCUAAGGCUACUCCCUUUAAUCCGUAUGCUACUAAUCUCACCCUUCUCUCCUAAGGAUCUUCAUAUAGUAAAAAAAAUCCAUCUACUUCUAUAAGUUAGCCCAUAAAACCCUCUAUAUUCAAAUUACCAUCAACCUUAGGAAAAUCUACCUUUAGGCGAAACACAUCAUCUCGAGCAUACCAUUGGGCAAGUUUCCUCACCCUAUGUUAACCAUGUCGAUAUCCUUCUUCAUCCUCUGAAUCUUGCACAUUAGCUUGUUGUUGAAAUUAAGGGUGAGAGUUCAAUCGGAUCGAGUAAAAAAAUUUUGAGUUAAUCGAGUUGACGAGUCCUAUUUUAUCAAAUCCUAACUCAAAUUAAAAUUUUUUCGAAUUGAGUCAAGUCGAAUUCAGUGAAAUUGUUCCGAGUUAAAUUAAAAAAUUAAACCUGCCAAAUUAAAAUUUGGUUACAGUAUAAGUAAUUUCAUAUUAGAGCAAAUAAAUUUGAAACCAUAUAUAUUUAAAAUGUUUUUUUUCAAAGCAAAAAAAGAAGAAGAUACUUUAGUAUGAUACACAUGAAUCAUUAUUUAACUUAUUUAGCUCCCAAAAUUAUUAUUUUAGAAAAAAUUUAAAUAUUUAACUUUCGUUAUAUAUUAUUUAGAAUUUUUAUAAAAACUUAUUAUUAUAUAAGAAUAAUAUAAAUGGUAUUUUUUAUAUUAUUAAAUUAUUUUAUACUUUCACCUCACGGCUACAUAUGCCUUUGAAAUUAAAUACAUAUUUCAUCAUUGAUUUUAAUCAUAUUACUACAAUAUUCAAUCUUAUUGCUACAAUUAUUAAUCUCACUGACACUACUGUUAUUAACCUCAUAAAAAAUGAACACAAUCCCAUGGAAAGAAAGCCUUAAUAUAGCUUAUUUCCAUUGGUUAGCAUAAUACAAAACUGAACCAUAGCCUCACCAGAUUUCCUUCAUUUAAACUUUGAAGUAAGACAAAAGAAAGCCGAAUGGGGAAUUAGCAACACAUUUCCUAUUUUGAAUACUAUUGAAGUUUUAGGGUUUCAUUUAUAAGCAAGUUGGGUAAAGAAAAUGGCUUUUCUUCUUGCAACCGUUCUUUGAAUGUUACCUAAAAGUGUUGUUAUAAAUAAUACAUAAUUGAUUUGAUAACUCCACAAAUGAUUGAAUUUCUUGUAUUUGUUUAUGAACAUAGUGUGUGUUUAUAUAUAACAUCAUUUUCAGUAUAAUUCAGUGUAUAUCUAUGUUAAAUAAUUAGCUUAGACAAGGUGUUCAAUUUCAAUCAAAGUCCUUGACUUAAACAUGCUCAUUGUUUAAUAGAUAAAUUAUAUUUAUGGGGUUUUUCAUAUUUUAAUUAUCUUUUUUAAAUUUAAUUAUUUUAAUUAAGAUAAUUGUGUAAUUUAGUCUCUCUCGUUAAAUAUUUUGUUAAUUACUAAGCAAGUUAGCAAUCCACAUGUGAAUGUGAUCCCAAACCCCACAUGUGCACAAUUAGCAACUCUUUGUCACGCCAACUUUUCUUCCAUUCGAAUGAGACAAUUUAAAACUACGUGUACGAUUCUUGAUUCGUUUGAGUUCCCCCAUGAUCUCUCUAGCACCCAACCUAUCAUCCUUAUCAACCACAGAACCAAACACAGAACCAAAUUGAAUCAAACACAAAAUCUGAAAUAUUUUCUUUACUUUCAAUAGGAAAGAGAAUCUCUCUUAAAUAGAAACCAAUAGAAUUACAUUUCCUAGAAAAUAGAAUUUAUUCUUAAAAUAAAUUUCCACUAAUUUUUACCAGAAUAGUAAUAUUGAAAACUUUAGAGAAACUUCUGUUUUUCACUUUCUGUUAAUGUGAAAAUGAAAAUCUCUUCUCAAAUAGAAAUUGAUAGAAUCGUUAUUCCAGAUAAUAUAUUUAAUUCUUAGAGAAUAAAAGUCUCUCUAUUUUUGGGCAGAAUAACAAUAUCUAAAAGUUGUGUUAAUACCCUUAAUGUUGCUAUCUAUUUAUAAGGAGAGAAGGUAGAACCCUUAUGCAACUGUAGAAGUUUAUUUCAACUAGAAAAAUAAACUCAUAGUCCAACUAGAAAUAUAGGCGGCAGCAACCCUAACUAUUUUUAGUCGUCCACCCCUUUUUACAUAAGAGGCUUUUGGACCUCUUCCAUAUCGGGUCCAAUUACAAGUACCUCCCGGGCUUUUAACCUAAUACUUUAUAAUUUGAUCCAACCCAAUAUUUGUAUUUCUAUUUCCCAAAAUAAACUUCAAUAUUUCCAAUUGAAUAAUUUUUUCAACUCAAUUUUAAUUCCAUUAAAAUCAUGAAGACUUUAACGUAAAAGAAUCUAUGAGAAAAUAUAUUUAAUAUUUUCGUUUUCAACGAUUCACUAUGACCAAAUGGUUUAUUUCUAUUUUUGAACUUCAUUUAAUUCGAAAAACAUAAAUUCAUUUUCCAGGUCAUCUUCAUUUUUCAUUUUCAUUUUCAUUUUCAUUUUCAUUUUGGAGAAAACAAUAAUCAUUUCCAAAUGAUUUCCCAUUUCUUUAUUUUCACCAUUUCUAUUCAUUUAUAUUCAUUUUAUUCAACAUGCAAUUCAUUUCUGGUUUCAACGAGCUAGUGGAAGGACCGAUUGGACAUAUGCAAUUGAGGCUCAAAUGAUUUAUAAGUUUCAGCUUUUCGCCUAUUAAUUAUAAGCUCAUUUAGUCACGAAGUCAUUCCACUAUAGUAUCGGGACUGAGCUCUCCCUAUCGGCAUACCAUUACGAAAGAAACUCGAUCAGUGCUCGUCUAAUGACCUUGUCAUAAGUGUGUUACCCUCAUAGGAUAUCCGUAAUAUUUUUGGGAUAAUAUCCAUUCUCCCAAUAUGAUCUUAUUUUAUCUCAUGGUAAACAUUACAUCUUCCUUCAUGAAAAGUCAAUUACUAUCAAAUAGUAAUCAAGUCAUUCAUCACAAAAGAUGAACAACUCGUGGCCACAUUUACUUUUCAUCAACCAUGUAAUGCCAAUGAGAGGAUAUCAUUUACCCAUGUCUCAAGCUAUGAAUUCCACUGCUGUGAAUAAUGCUACCUACUGCAGAAGUCAUACACCCAACACACCAACUUUCGGUUCCUUAUUUAUUCGAAUUCAAGCUUUUACUUACAUCAAAGUGUACGAGUCACACAUACAUAGUUCGUCAUCCACUCAGGAUUUAGGUAUGCCGCACUAUGAACGUCACAAGUGAAUAAAUCUAUAAAUGAAUUCAAGAUCUAUUCUUCUUUGGUCCACUCUGAUGUAAUGUCAAUCCAGUCAAUCAUAUCUAUGUCUCUAUCUUCUGAGAGUCGUUCGCUUCAAUGCCCAAGAUGAGGCAUCUCCCCAACUAGACUUGAUAGAUGAUAUAUUAGUCUUUCAAUCGGUUUUCUAAUUUUCGAUUAGAUUAGGGACAUGUUUAGGUUCGUGUACUAAUACAAGUUGUCUUUCCGUAUUACGACCAACUACAUAAUAUCGCUUAGUAUCAGUUUAAACAUUAGACAACCAAUGAGCAACAUUUGCUUCUAUUUUACUUUGGGUGCAAAAACUAUAUGAGAACAAUAAUACAAAGUAUAUUAAUUUUAGUUAAUGAAUUUGUUUUAUUAACCAAUCUGUUCGAAAAAAUUACAAGUUACAAAUGAAUAUACUACAAUUAGGGUACUAGAUCCAAUAGUAUCUUUCUUUCUAAACCCGUUUGGUUCCACAUAAGUCGUUAAAAGCAUCUCAUCUUCCUCACCAAAUUCUAUAUAGUUUGUUUCUAUAUUUUCAUGGAACUCAUUAGAAAUUUCCAAUUUUAUGAAAUUUGUAGCUUUCCACCGUUGCUUUGUUAAAACUUGCUUGACCUCUCCCUCUCCCUCUCCCUCUCCCUCUUCUUCUUUUAUAAGCACUACGACCACGACCUUUUCCUGUAUCAUAUGUCAAUUUCAAAAACUGCUCCUCUCCAUGAUGCCUUUGAAAUUUAUGUUCAUGUACUAUUAAUGAGCUUUGUAAUUCAUCUAUAGUGAGAGCAUCAGUGCCUUUUGAUUCCUCAAUAGAACAAACAACAUAGUUAAAACUUUUCAGUUAAAGAGCAUAGAAUUUUUUCUACCAUUUUAACAUCCUGCAUAUUUUCUUCAUAAGUUGCAUCUUGUUGUUCACUGUCAUGACCUUUGAGAAUUACUCUAUCACUCAGUCAUCAUUCCUUAUCUCAAACAUUUCAAAUUCUCUGUGGAGAGAUUGAAGAUAAGAUCUCUUGACCUUUGCAUUUCCUUCAUAUUUUUUCUUUAUGGUAUCCUAUAUUUCUUUGGAAGUAUUCUUGUUGAGAAUGGUUUGUCUCAUCAUUAUUCUUUCUUUGUGUAUUUAACUAAUGUGCUUUUCUUUCUAGUUCGACAUAGUCAGGAUUCACCUCCUAAUAUUCCUUAGAAUGUAGAAAAUUUUCCUUUAAUAUGCUCCAAUGAUCAUAGUGACCAGUGAGGAAUAGUUGGUUGUAUAAAGUUGUCAGAAUUCAUCUUUUGAGUCAUUUCUAUGUUGUUGCUAGAAUUUCUCAAGCCCUGAGGGGGUUCUAAUACCAAAUUGUUGGGAACUUUGAUCUAAUACGAGACACAAGAACACAAGUAAACAAUAAGAUAGACUUUUAAUGACUUGAGUUUUACUGAUGAUGACCUUGGCUUAUAUAGUCACACAAUAAGAUCUUAAUAGAGAAUAAAAACCACACACUCAAAUCAAAUCAAAGAUAAGAGAUAAUAGUAACAUAGAAUAAUUCAAAUACCAAUAUCUCUGAAGAAUAUGAACUUAUUCUAACAAUAAGUUCUGCAAAAGACUCUUUUAUAAAUUUCGCUUUUCUCUACUAGUCAGAACAACUGGUGGUAACCCAAAUCUAGACACUCGGGUGUUCCUUGAGGUUUGAUCCAAAUAAAUUCUGAUUUCGAGCCUCAUUGGCCAAGUAAGCAAGGCUUUUAGACGAUUGUGAAAAUGGCCGACGAGGGUUCUUUUAGCUUCGUUGUGGAGUUUGAUACCAAUUUUAUCCCUUCACUUGGUGACAUCAAUGGUAAUCAUGUUAGCGUUUAUGUUAACUCCGCUGUUUCUUUGGCUGCGAUUGAUGUUUUGUCAAAAGGGUUUUGAUCUUCAAAGAGUGAAAAUGAUAUCAACUUUGAUUGAGUAUGGGAUUAAGAGAAAUUGAUUCAAGUAUGGCUUAGUUAUUUAUCAAGUAAGCCUCUAAGUCCUCUUCAUGGUGCCCAAAUAGGCUUUUCCAAGAAAUUUAAGGAAUAUAUGCAUAAUAGUUGCUCAAACAGUAGACCCUGCACUUAUCCUUCGGCACCGAUCAAAACAUGGUCUAGCUCUCUGUCUUUGCCAACCAUGUGUAUUGCUUUAGCUGCCCAUUGACAUUGACCUAAAACCUCAUUAAAAAUGGUUCGACAUUAUUGUCUAACGAUCUUUCUGUGUACCCAAAUGACAUAGUCGGCAAGUAUAGGUCAAAGAAAUGGAAGUUGUAAAUGUAAGGGAUUGUCAUUUGUGGGACAUCGACGAAAGCUUUCUCGGUGAUUUAUCCUUAAAGAGAAAAGCCAUGGUGAUGGAUCAAACGAACUCUUCCUUGAAGUUAAAGGUUGUUAGGCGAUUAAGUUCAUACCCGACAACCACGUAUCCAUCAAAUAAUCGAAGCUUUCCAUUUGAGGAAUACAAAACGAGAUUCACAGUCUCUAAAAGAACGAACCUUUUUGCUUUUUCACUGUUGUUGCUUUGCCAAACGGUUGACUCUGACGAUUCCUUCACCACCAAUUGCCCUGUUCCGGUGAUUUCCAGUGAAGAUCCGAUGAUAUUUUUUUUAUGUGUUUUUCACAAUUCGCAACCAAAACCCAAGUUUGUGAAAAGAAAGAGGUAAAACCUAUAUUACGUUGAUUGAUGACUGUGCUUUUUGUUAGUGAUUAACGGAAUUUUUAAUGGGAGGAUUACUUUGCACAAUUAUCUUAAUUAGAGUGAUUAAAUUAAGAAAAAAAUUUAAGUGACUAAAAUCGAACAAAUCCUAUUUUAGAGUGACCAUGAGUAUAAUAUUUAAUUUUAACAAUCAAAUGAAUUUGGAUCAUAAGCUUCGUGGGUUGUUUUCAAGUUUUGGUUUAAUGGAUCGAAAAAUCAGCUCAGCCUUUGAGCUAACCCACGACGUUAGCGAUCUAUUCAUUUUCUAAUUGUAAGCCUAUAUUUUUGUUGAAUUGACCCUUCUUUAAAGCACCUGAAUUUCAGCUCAGACACCACAGUCAUUGUAUGAAAUCAUCAAUUAUGACCUAUGGGUUAUGUUCACUGAUUGGCGACAUUUGGGCCAUUCGGCUGUAGAUUUUGGUUGGGGAGGUCCCAUGACAGUGUUGCCACUUUCAACCAAUUUCCUUGGGAGUAUGGAGCCAUGCUUUUUCCUGCCUUAUGCUUCAUCGAAUACAGGGAAGAAUAAAGGAUUUAAAGUGUUGGUGAGCUUGCGUGAGAGUGCCAUAGCUGAUUUUAGAGAAGAGAUGGAGAAAUUUAGUAGGAAAGAAUUUAGUAAACUUUGAGCUGUUUCCAGAUAUCUGAAUCCUGCUAGCAGAGCUGUCUUGUUGCUAAUUUGGCUAAUAAUAAUAAUAAUAAUAAUUUGUUCUUGUUCUAAUUGUAUGAAGGAAGAGUAAAACAAAGGGAAGAUUGACAUGAAUGAACAGUCUCGUUUAUAAUUUAUGAUGGACUAUUUACUUUUCGAGUUGCCAUUGAUGCACAAGUUACGUUGACUAAAUUUUUUCUAUGAUGCGUAGUUAGAUUAUUUGUCCACAAGUCCAGGAAACUUGAACUUGGGACUCUGUUCCAGGAAAGCAGGUGGUCGCUGGUAGACAACUGAAGCAGCUCUUAUCAAAAUACCUGCAGUUAAACCCCAUAUCAAAUACCUCUUAUUCUCGAUUUCAUAGUCGAAGAAGUGAAGAAGAUACUUUUCUCCCAUCCAUUCUCUCUCUUCUGCGCUUCGAUUUUCAUCCUGAACCCAGCAAUUCAUUCAUACAACGGAUUAAAAAAGAGAGUAAAACAAGUAUGUGAGUAGGAGUUGGAAGAGACAAACCUUAAUGAACAUUUCCAGUGGAGCAUCGAAUACUGCAUCCACUUCAGCAGGAUUCGGAGUAGGCUUGAAUGCCUUUCUGUCAUUAAGUACACCGAUAACAGGAACUACUCUUAGGAGAUGCUGCAUGGAAAACCAAUAAGUUUUAAACAAGCUGAAAGCCAAUACAGUAUUCGGCACGAAUUUCAGCUAUACUGUGUACCUUGCUAUGCACUGUAAGCCAAAAGAUUGAGAAAGGUACAUUACAUUAUAUUUUAUAACCAAAAUAUCUAAACACAACUCAUCAUUCUAACAUUUCCAUCACAAGGUCCAUGUCCUGUUGAUAGUUGUCAGAUCAAACUUCAAGAUUAUAUCAAUAUUGAUUUUCAAACAAAAAGUACCCAAUUCUAGUAUUCUCCAUAUAGAACUUGUUCAUUAAUCCAUCUUAACAUAUAUAUAUAAUAUAUAUAUAAACCAUGUCCAUAUAGUUUUUAAUGACAUUUUAAAUAACAAUGGGGACAAUUAAACAAGCUGAAACAUGUUCAACAUUUUAUAUUGAAACACUCAUGUGUAAAAAAAGGAGGAUCUUUGGAUCAAUAGCACGCAGUACUCACCAUAUUAUUCAUCUACAUAGCAAGUAACUAGCAUUAUACAUAGACAUAACAGUCCACAUCAACAAACAUACAUGUACAAUUGUCUAUUUUAAGGUAAAACAAAGUAUAUAUGCUUAAAGAUUAUUAGUCCAAUCCAAGGACCACAAAAGUCAUUUCUCAGUCAACUGGUUCAUGUAGAAGAAUUCAGAUUAUUUCAUAUCAUUCACAGAAAGAACCAGCAACAGUCAAUCUCACAUUUCGAUAGCACCUUAUAGGAUUAUACAACUUAGGUUGGAAGAGCAAUUUCAAUUACUUGAUAAUGAGAAGAGCUAUUAAAUAACCAUGAUAGAAAUCAUGCUUGGAUCAGGUAGGUAGCUCAUAUAAACUAAAUCACACCUUUCGUUAUUCCAGUGUACCAGCUUUCACUCUCUUCUAAGGGUUUUCUUUUUGUUUUCUUUCUGUAAAGUUUAUAGCAUUAGUACCAGUUAUCCCCAUCUUGUGUCACCCCUUGCAAAACACAGCCAUGAGUUUCACAUUUUUACAGAUAGAGAAGGUCUCCGAAGGGAAACUCAGAGAAUUUUAGAGUAGGCAUAGACAAACAGAUUAUCCAUUCAUGAUGCCAAGUGAUAAAUUUGCUGUACACCUAACAGUUAUCUCACAUUACAUAGACUCUUCUUUGCUUUUGUGCUAAGUUUUUGAUAUCAAGUUUAAAACAUAGACGCCCACAAUACCCUCCAACAAGAAAUUAAUUCUAAACUUCCAACAAUAUUACUAUAGAUAUAUAGAAUAGAAAAUGUCACAAUCAUCCAAAUGAGAACUGAACUGAUUCAAAACAGACUAAUGCAAUUUACCAUGUAUAUGAAUGGUUAAUGAAGAUACUAAAAAAGCCUGAUGUUAUGUUGGGAACAUGAUUUUGAAAAUUUCUAUUUGGAUUUCAUUUGCUAAAUAAAUCGUAAAAAUGAAAUGCAUACAUUAUGAAUAAAUUAGUUGGGUUCAAUCUAAUAUAUAUUCAGAAAAUAUAAAAAGCAUAAAUAUAUUGAAUUCCUAAAUUCCUCAGGAAAUUCCAAUUCACUAUUAAAUGCACAUCCAACAAAUCCAUGGAUAUGAGAAUCAUUAAUGCAACAUUUCUAUAUGUUAUCACUUAAUUUACAGUAUUUUUGAAAUCCAAGUUCCAAAAUGCUACCUAAAAGAAAAUUUUUGAAAUCGAAGCGCAGAAGAGAGAGAAUGGAUGGGAGAAAAGUAUCUUCUUCACUUCUUCGACUAUGAAAUCGAGAAUAAGAGGUAUUUAAUAUGGGGUUUAACUGCUGGUAUUUUGAUAAGAGCUGCUUCAGUUGUCUACCAGCGACCACCUGCUUUCCUGGAACAGAGUCCCAAGUUCAAGUUUCCUGGACUUGUGGACAAAUAAUCAAACUACGCAUCAUAGAAAAAAUUUAGUCAACGUAACUUGUGCAUCAAUGGCAACUCGAAAAGUAAAUAGUCCAUCAUAAAUUAUAAACGAGACUGUUCAUUCAUGUCAAUCUUCCCUUUGUUUUACUGUUCCUUCACACAAUUAGAACAAGAACAAAUUAUUAUUAUUAUUAUUAUUAUUAGCCAAAUUAGCAACAAGACAGCUCUACUAGCAGGAUUCAGAUAUCUGGAAACAGCUCAAAGUUUACUAAAUUCUUUCCUACUAAAUUUCUCCAUCUCUUCUCUAAAAUCAGCUAUGGCACUCUCACGCAAGCUCACCAACACUUUAAAUCCUUUAUUCUUCCCUGUAUUUGAUGAAGCAUAAGGCAGGAAAAAGCAUGGCUCCAUACUCCCAAGGAAAUUGGUUGAAAGUGGCAACACUGUCAUGGGACCUCCCCAACCAAAAUCUACAGCCGAAUGGCCCAAAUGUCGCCAAUCGGUGAACCCACUCACCCCUUUCCCAGCCGUGAUGCCGUCUUCAUAGUGCAGUUCUUGUAAGUCAAUGAAAGAACGCACGUACUCGUCACUGGCAUUGCUUUUGCUCUUCUUGAUCAACUCUGCCGUUUUCCACAAAGGUUGCUCGAUUAGGUCCUUGGCACUGACCUUGGCGUACAUUGCAACGCAGCCGUUGCCCCAGUAGCCUGCAGGCAAUGCUGGCUUUACCACUUUGCGGAUGUUCAUCAAAUAUGAAAACUUCACCGUCUCCUCGCCUGGAAUCUUUGAGGCUUUCACCCUGUUUAUAUCAACAAUGAAGACCAGGUCAAAAACACUUCCAUUGCUUACACAUUAUGUGAAUUUAAUUACACCAAACUUUUUUUAACUUACUUGGCUCGCCAAAUAUAUGCACCUAAGAUUUCAAAAGUGGUUAAACCCAGACCACUUUGUUCAAAAAGCAAAGCCUUGAGCUGGUCCAAGCAUUCAUCUUCCACAUAAAAGCACUCCCUUUCAACAUGUCCGAUAUCCUGUUUGUAAGGAUUAAAACCUUUCUCCAAGCUUAGGAACUCAGGAACUGGGGCUUCAACUUUCGGUGGGUUUCUUGGACCCAACAGAGUGGAUCGAUCCCAAACCGGCUGAUAUUUUACUUUGUCCACCCCACGUGCGAUAUCAGCUGCCAUACAGAAAAACUGGGUCGCACCAAGCCCAUCGCAUAAAGCAUUGUGUAUAGCCGCCCCAAGAGUAAACCCACCACAUUUGAACACCGUUAGCUGUAAAGUACAGGGGUUGACCAACGUGUCUUCCGGGCUUGGGUCGGGAACCAGUUGUUCAGCCGAAUUCAUAUCAGGGUCAUCAAGGUGAUUUACAGACUCCAAUGUGCAGUCCACGCUGGCACUGACGAGCGGUAGGCUUUGAUCCAACUCACAGAAAAGCUCAUACCUACCGUUGCUGGAACGGCGGAGAGAUCCAGCCAGAGGAUAAUAGUGGUGGAGAGCGGCGGAGAUGGCGGAGGAGAUGACCUGGAAAGGGUCACGACCUGUGGUGUCGCUGUUGACGUAAGCUCGCAGGUAACGGAAGGUGACGUUGAGGGAGUGGUCAUUAUCUAGGUGAGAGAGGGGGAGGGUGUGAUCGUGGGUGAAAGGUGCGGUGGAGGGGCGGAUGAGAGUAGUUUCUAAGACUUGGACCUUCAUAUUUUUUGGGUUUGUUAGGGGGAAUUCCAGGGUUGGUGUUUAAAAGGGUGAGGGUUCGUCAAAAAUGGUUGGUGUUGACUAGUGAAAUUGAAGGCUUUGCCUCAAGGCUAAACAAACCUUUGCCUUUUAACAAAUAAUGCCUAAAAAUCAUCCCGGUUCAGUGUCCCUUCUUUGGAUAUUGACUAGUGGUGAACUGCCGUUAUUGUCGUUAUAGGAGUCACAAAGAAACAACAAGUGGUGGCUAGGUCUACUGCUGAGGCUGAAUAUAGGAGUUUUGCUACGGUUACAAGUGAGGUUACAUGGUUAUUGUCGUUACUUCAAGAAUUACAAGUUAAGUCGGUUGAUACGUCAAAUAUUUGGUGUGAUAGUUAUGGUGCUGUUGCGGUUACUGCUAAUCCUGUUCUACAUUCAAAGUUCAAGCAUGUUGAAUUAGAUUUGUUUUUUGUUCGUGAGAAGGUUGCUAGUGGUUCUAUUGUGGUUGGUGAGGUUCCAGCUUGUGAUCAAGUUGUUGAUAUUCUUACUAAACCUCUGUCUGUAUCGAUUUUUACUCGUUUUCAACAUUUUCUUCGGGUUUUGCCUGUUGAGGAGAUGGAUGCAUAUUAGUAUACCUUAAGAUACUGUUAGAUGGUUAGGCUGCUGUCAAUUUAGUUGCGUGUUUGUUAGUGAGUAGUUGGUCAUUGAGGUUGUAUAUAUUGGCUUCUUUGGAAGUUCAGAAAACAGAUUGGAAAAUAUAGAAAUAUUUCUUUAAGUUUGUUCUUUGUUUUUGUUUCUUUACCUUAUUCUUUCAUAUCGAUACUCUUUUUUUUAGGCAAUCACUAUAAGGAUGUCCAAUUUAAUUGCAACAGAAGCAUUUUUCCUAUGGUUGGCUUGGCAUAUAAAUUUGUUUGUGUGCUUUUAGGUACCCUGCAUUAGCUUUUUGUUGUCUUUUUUAUCACCGACAUGUUUCUCUACUUGUUUUUGUGCAUUAUAGAUGGAUAUAUUCUUGUAUGUCACCAUUUGUGCAUAUUGGAGGUGAUUUUUCUUAGUCAAAUUUGCCUUCUACUCUUGCACCAUCAUUAUUGCCUUUAACACCAUAUUUCGUGCUCCAACAAUGUUUGCCAACAUUUGCACAACAAUAUUGUCUUGCGUUACAGGCCUUAGCCUAUUAAGGUAUUUGUAUACCUAUUGCCUAUUGGACUCCUUCAGAUGUGUUUUUGCAAGCUUCAUGAACUCCAUAGUGUAGUUGUGCAAUUGAUAUUGCAAGAAUAAAUAUUGCUCAUAAUUCAUGUAUAAAAAUGGAGCCUUGAGCAAUUGCUUCAUUUUGCACCAUGUUCGCUCCAUAUGCUACUAAUCUUGCCAUUAAUAUUACAGGAAUAGAUAUUGCUCAUAAUUCAUGGAUAAAAAUCUAGUAUCUUAUAAAUAUUCUCACCAAGCUAAGGCUACUCCCUUUAAUCCGUAUGCUACUAAUCUCACCCUUCUCUCCUAAGAAUCUUCAUAUAGUAAAAAAAAUCCAUCUACUUCUAUAAGUUAGCCCAUAAAACCCUCUAUAUUCAAAUUACCAUCAACCUUAGGAAAAUCUACCUUUAGGCGAAACACAUCAUCUCGAGCAUACCAUUGGGCAAGUUUCCUCACCCUAUGUUAACCAUGUCGAUAUCCUUCUUCAUCCUCUGAAUCUUGCACAUUAGCUUGUUGUUGAAAUUAAGGGUGAGAGUUCAAUCGGAUCGAGUAAAAAAAUUUUGAGUUAAUCGAGUUGACGAGUCCUAUUUUAUCAAAUCCUAACUCAAUUUAAAAUUUUUUCGAAUCGAGUCAAGUCGAAUUCAGUGAAAUUGUUCCGAGCUAAAUUAAAAAAUUAAACCUGCUGAUACGAGUCACAAAAGCCCAAACUCUUGAGGGCAAGGCCCAAUAAGAAGAUUCCAAGCCCAAUCAAGAAAUCCACCCAUACUUAGUUGAAAAUCAGGCCAAAUUGUCAAAGUGGCCCAAGUUGUAAAGUUUUAUUUUUAUUUAUUUAUUUAUUUAUUUUACUUAGUUUAAAUUUUUAUAUUCAGUCCAAGAGUCCCAAAUAAAAGACCCUUGGCCGAAUUUCCAUAUUAAAAUAAUUAGGAGUUUUUUUUUAGUUUUAGUUUUAGUGUUCUAAUUAAAUUAGGAAAACAUUUGAAAGGCCUAUUUAUAUGGCUUGGCCAGCCACCCUACAUUACAUUACAAUUACAUUGAAAAUUUCAGAUUUGAUUUGAGUGAAAAUUCUCUUUGAGUUCUUCAAGGAUUUUCUCUUGAGUUUUCUUUAGAAGUUGUUUUAACAAUCUUUUUGAUUGUGGGAGCCAUCUUCAACCUUCUUCUUGCCAUUGAUAUUCUUUGGAGGGGAGAUUAGAGCCGUUUGAAGGGAGUUGUGAGAUCUUUCGGGAUUUCAAGGCUUCUUAGGACUUAUCUUUUAAUUUCUUACUGUCAAUUCUUUCUUUAUUUCUGCUUGUGCCGAAUCUUUAUCUAAUUUAUUUUCUGUUCUUAUUGUGUUUUCAGCCUUUUUUUAUCUUAAGGAAUUAGCCCAAAAAUCCCCAAUUUCUAGGGUUCUAGCCGAUUCAUCCAUACUCUUUUUUGGGAGAAAUUAGAUUGCUGAAAUUUGGGGAAAACUAUCUGGGUGUUCAAUUGGGCAGAAUCGCAAUCUCUUCUAGGGUUUCAAGAUUCCUUAUUAACACUUAUUUCUAUUCUCUAUUUGAUUCUUUACUGUUUUGGGGAUUUUAUUUCAGAUCUGAAAAUUCAAAAAUCUAAUCUUUUAAUUUUCUGUUUCGUUUCAGAUCUAAUUGUUUAGGGUUUUCGUAGGAGUUUCUCGUGACUUGGCAACUCGAUCUUGGUCCGCGCGCAACCCCGUAUCAUUUGGUAUCAGAUUUUGGGCAUUUUGGGUGUUCUUGGUUGAUUUCUAAACUGAUCUCUAUUUUUUAAAUUACAAACAUCAGUUUUACCCAGAAAAAUUUUCGAAAAAAAAUUCAUUUGAGUGGGUAAACGUUUUCUGAUUGAUCUGAAAUUUUACAUACAUAUUUUUGGCACUGUUAUUGAAUAUACAAAAAUAUUUCCCGCAAAAAAAAUAAGUCGAAAAAGUCAAAAAAUUGAAAAAAGACGAAAUCCAAUAAAAAAUUAAAAAAAUAUUCAGCGAGUUGAAUUUGGUGCCCAAAUUUUCCAGAUCAAAAAUUCAAUAUUUGAAGACAUUCCAGAUUUAAUUUUGUGAUUUUUUGAGAUCGGGAACACCUCGAACGAAGUUGUCAAGUUACUCCGCAGUUUUUCGGGUUUUCUGUUUUCAACAAUUUUUAUUGAUUCUUAGCUGUAGGUUUUCAUUUGUUUGCUUUUUAUUCUCCCUUUACAAUAUCUAACACCUUCUUGUUUUUUGUGUUAGUAGGAUUUAAACGUGUGCCCAAUUCUUCCUCGGUGCAACACGAAUCAAUUGGUGUCUCGUCAGUUUUUGGCAUCCUAGUGCAAAUUAGGAUUCUUUGGUAGUUUGGUUCACACUCUCUAAUUGGUUGAUAUAAACUCUGAUAAAGAACUCACAAGAUUGAAUUCGACCUCAUUGAGAAUUUGAUUUUUCUUUUUGAGUGAUUAAUGGUGAGGUUUGCUAACUUUUAUUUUUGAGUGUUGAGUGUUUAUUUUUUACAGGUUUUGAAGAUGUCUAAAGGUGAUAAUAAUGAUGCACUUAUGAAAGUCCAACAACAGUUAGAUAGACAUACUGCUACAAUCACACAAAUAAAUGCUACACUUCAAGCAUUGAAUACUACUUUGAAUGAGGUACGAGUGAAUCAAAAACAUCAAUAUCGAGAUCCAAUUAAGGAAGAUAGGGAUAACCAGCCCCAUAGGUGCAACCCUCAACAUGUCCCUAGAAUGGAUGAUGAUUGUCAUGAUCAUGGACAAUCAUCUUUGGCAAAACCAAAGAGCGAGCAGCAACGAGAACAUCUCUUUCAUACUCGCUGCCACGUACAAGGUAAGCUUUGUAGAGUUAUUAUUGAUGGUGAAAGUUGCUCGAACAUAGCCAGCACGACGAUGGUGGAAAAGCUUUGCUUAACCACUACCAAGCAUCCACAACCUUAUCAACUACAAGGGCUUAGCAACGAAGGCCAAUUUAGGGUCACUCAACAAGUGCGCAUCGCCUUUUCUAUCGGUAAGUAUCAAGACGAAGUUGUGUGCGACGUAAUGCCUAUUCAAGCCUGCCAUUUGUUGCUAGGAGAACCGUGGCAACUGGAUCGAAAAGUCACUCACGAUGGUCGUACCAAUAGGUAUUCUUUCAAGCAUCAAGGAAAGAAACUCACCUUAGUGCCACUCACUCUAGAACAAGUCCAUGAGGACCAAAUCAAACUGAAAAAUUCUGUUAAAACAAGUGAGGAAAAAGAAAAAGAGAAUGAAAAAGAGCAAAAAGAGAUUGAGAGUGAAAAAGAAAUUGAAGAAAGAAGAGAAAAUGAAUUAGAAAAAGAAACAAAAGAAAAAGACGUGGAAAGGGUAGUGAGGAAUGUUUCCACUAACCAAGAUAUGAAUUUUUCUUGUGUUGCUACUUUUCAGGUUCCCGAAAGAUCGAAAGAUAACUUUCAACUUCAAUACCUCUCAAAUGAAAGACGCUUUCAUACGAUCAACUUAAGCAAAGAUGAAAUCACACUACAUGAUCCCGAAGGUAAGCGAGGUAAGGAAAUUUUAGAAACCGAGUCCAGUGCAGAUUUGAAAAUUAUUGAUAAAACUUUUGGUGACUUAGUUCUUAAAAGAUCCCCUCAUUUUGAUCCGAUUAAUUGUUACUCUUCGAUUGUGGUUGAUAAAGUCAUUACGAAAAGAAGCGUGAUUUGUUAUUCUCUUGAUUUACCUUGUGUAAAAUCCUUGAAUUUGUCCAAAUCUGUUUUGGAGAAUAAGGUAACGAAAUUUUCCAAAUUUGUUUUCAAUUUAUAUUCGUGCCUUAAACAGUUUAUGUGGUUGUACAUGAAGUUUGAGUUCCAUUUGACAAACGUUAACUCAACAACGAAGAUUCGACUACACUAUGCCCCCGAUGAGCGAAGGUUUGUUUUAAAUGAAAAAGGUAAAAUCGACCCUUAUUCUUCUGCUUAUCGAGGUAAGAUGCUUGAAACCUUUGAAACACUUUUGUACUCCUCGGAUAGUGAUAAAGAUCGUGUUGAUGAACACUUAGAUCGAAACGUGCUUGACUGUCCUAUUUUAUUUAUUGAUGAUUUAUCUGUUUUGAUAGUUGAUAAAAAGAUUCUUGUUUUUGAUAAUGCAUGUGUGAGUGAAUCUAUAGACCGUCGAUUAAUGCAUGGUAUGAUUAUGCAACUCUGUGAACCAUGUGAAUCUUUUCAAAUACCUACUUGUGACGAUUAUGUUUACCAUUUGAUUUAUUACUCGCAAUUUAUUCAUGGUUUGUGGGAACAAUGUGAGACGACUGAAUGCCUUAAAACAUGUCCAUCUUUGUUUCAAAUAUUUGACGAGGCAGUGGUGAGUAAAUUAGAUUGUUUGCAUGGUAAUCUGAAUCUGUCCAUUCACAUACGUUAUACCUGUUCUAUUAUGCUUAUGAUUGGACUACAAGCUUAUUUCCGUUGCUAUUUACUAUCUCAUGGCUAUUCUUCUCAGUGGACUCAAUUGCCAUUAGUCCCGUUCGAUAGAGGAAAGUCGAGUUCAUUUGAUUUUUUAGAUUCGAGGACGAAUCUUUUUGAGGAAGGGGGGAAUGAUACGAGUCACAAAAGCCCAAAUUCUUGAGGGCAAGGCCCAAUAAGAAGAUUCCAAGCCCAAUCAAGAAAUCCACCCAUACUUAGUUGAAAAUCAGGCCAAAUUGUCAAAGUGGCCCAAGUUGUAAAGUUUUAUUUUUAUUUAUUUAUUUAUUUUACUUAGUUUAAAUUUUUAUAUUCAGUCCAAGAGUCCCAAAUAAAAGACCCUUGGCCGAAUUUCCAUAUUAAAAUAAUUAGGAGUUUUUUUUUAGUUUUAGUUUUAGUAUUCUAAUUAAAUUAGGAAAACAUUUGAAAGGCCUAUUUAUAUGGCUUGGCCAGCCACCCUACAUUACAUUACAAUUACAUUGAAAAUUUCAGAUUUGAUUUGAGUGAAAAUUCUCUUUGAGUUCUUCAAGGAUUUUCUCUUGAGUUUUCUUUAGAAGUUGUUUUAACAAUCUUUUUGAUUGUGGGAGCCAUCUUCAACCUUCUUCUUGCCAUUGAUAUUCUUUGGAGGGGAGAUUAGAGCCGUUUGAAGGGAGUUGUGAGAUCUUUCGGGAUUUCAAGGCUUCUUAGGACUUAUCUUUUAAUUUCUUACUGUCAAUUCUUUCUUUAUUUCUGCUUGUGCCGAAUCUUUAUCUAAUUUAUUUUCUGUUCUUAUUGUGUUUUCAGCCUUUUUCUAUCUUAAGGAAUUAGCCCAAAAAUCCCCAAUUUCUAGGGUUCUUGCCGAUUCAUCCAUACUCUUUUUUGGGAGAAAUUAGAUUGCUGAAAUUUGGGGAAAACUAUCUGGGUGUUCAAUUGGGCAGAAUCGCAAUCUCUUCUAGGGUUUCAAGAUUCCUUAUUAACACUUAUUUCUAUUCUCUAUUUGAUUCUUUACUGUUUUGGGGAUUUUAUUUCAGAUCUGAAAAUUCAAAAAUCUAAUCUUUUAAUUUUCUGUUUCGUUUCAGAUCUAAUUGUUUAGGGUUUUCGUAAGAGUUUCCCGUGACUUGGCAACUCGAUCUUGGUCCGCGCGCAACCCCGUAUCACCUGCCAAAUUAAAAUUUGGUUACAGUAUAAGUAAUUUCAUAUUAGAGCAAAUAAAUUUGAAACCAUAUAUAUUUAAAAGGUUUUUUUUCAAAGCAAAAAAAGAAGAAGAUACUUUAGUAUGAUACACAUGAAUCAUUAUUUAACUUAUUUAGCUCCCAAAAUUAUUAUUUUAGAAAAAAUUUAAAUUUUUAACUUUCGUUAUAUAUUAUUUAGAAUUUUUAUAAAAACUUAUUAUUAUAUAAGAAUAAUAUAAAUGGUAUUUUUUAUAUUAAAAUCUAAUAUUUAUAUAAAUUCAUUAUCAUAGAUAAUUUUUCAUUAUUAUUUAAUAUAAAAUGAUUUUAAUAUAUUUUAAUAUUUAAAAUAAAUAUAUAAAAAUUGUAUAUUAAUUUAUUUUUUUAUUAUAUAAAAUAUAAAAUUUUGAGUUUUAUAAUAAUUUAAUAAUAUAUAAUGUUUAUAAUAUUAAAAAUUAUAUGAAUUUAAUUAUAGAUAAGUAUCUAUAAAUAAUAAAAAAAUAAAUACAAAUAUAAUUAAUGAAAAUCUAAUUAUUUAUUAGUAAAAUUAUUCUUUAAGAUAAAUACAAAUUUAAUAUAUUUUAUUAUUUAACAUAUUAUUAAAUUAUUUUAUACUUUCACCUCACGGCUACAGAUGCUUUUGAAUUUAAACACAUAUUUCGUCAUUGAUUUUAAUCAUAUUACUACAAUAUUCAAUCUUAUUGCUACAAUUAUUAAUCUCACUGACAUUACUGUUAUUAACCUCAUCAAAAGUGAACACAGUCCCAUGGAAAGAAAGCCUUAAUAUAGCUUAUUUCCAUUGGUUAGCAUAAUACAAAACUGAACCAUAGCCUCACCAGAUUUCCUUCAUUAAAACUUUGAAGUAAGACAAAAGAAAGCCGAUUGGGGAAUUAGCAACACAUUUCCUAUUUUGAAUACUAUUGAAGUUUUAGGGUUUCAUUUAUAAGCAAGUUGGGUAAAGAAAAUGGCUUUUCUUCUUGCAACCGUUCUUUGAAUGUUACCUAAAAGUGUUGUUAUAAAUAAUACAUAAUUGAUUUGAUAACUCCACAAAUGAUUGAAUUUCUUGUAUUUGUUUAUGAACAUAGUGUGUGUUUAUAUAUAACAUCAUUUUCAGUAUAAUUCAGUGUAUAUCUAUGUUAAAUAAUUAGCUUAGACAAGGUGUUCAAUUUCAAUCAAAGUCCUUGACUUAAACAUGCUCAUUGUUUAAUAGAUAAAUUAUAUUUAUGGUGAUUUUAAACAUGCUCAUUGUUCAAUUAUAUUUAGCCGCAACAGAAGCCGCUAAAGACAACGCCGCUAAAGGUGUUGGUCUAUAGUGGCGCUUCUCUAAAAAACGCCGCUGAAGACAAAGACCUUUAGCGGCGCUUCCACUAAAGCGCCGCUAAAGAUCAGGGUCUUUAGCAGCGUUUUUGUGGGAAACGCCGCUAAAGAUUGGGGUCUUUAGCGGCGCUCUUACUACAAACGCUGCAAUAGACCCUGAGCUAUAGCGGCGCUUUUUCUAAAAACGCCGCAAUAGACACCGAUCUAUAGCGGCGCUUUUACAAAAAACGCCGCCGUAGACCCUGAUCUAUAACGGCGCUUCGGAUAAAAACGCCGGUAAAUAACCUUCUUUUUAGCGGCGCUUUUACCAAAAACGCCACUAAAGGCCAACACCUUUAGUGGCGUUUUUUUUAAAAACGCCACUAAAUUUGGCAGAUUUGUAAAAUAAAUUUUUUUAUAUUUUCAGCCCUCCUGUAAAAACAAAUCAGAAGAAAUCAUAUCUAAACCAGCCAAAAGUAAUAAAUUUAUAGAUUAAACAAAUAAUAUAAUAAAUAUCAAUAAAUAAAAUAAAAUUCGUAUUAUUCUUACAAAAAAGUUAAAAGUUAAAAUGAUAAUUAAAAGUCAAAAUUGAAGUAUAUUUACACGAUAGUCUAGGACGGCGGCUGUUGCGACUGCUAAAACAUCUUCAUCAUACUCUGAAGCUGCUGCUGGAGUUCAUCGAACUUUUGACGUUGCUCUUCUUCCCUCGCUGCAGCCUCUACUUGCCUCGCUACAGCCUCUGCUUCCCUCGCUGCAGCCUGUACUUCUAUCGCUGCCGCCUCUACUUCUCUUACUGCCGCAUUUGCUCUAAGCUGUUGCUGGAGUUCUUCAUACUUUCGUUGAACCUCAGCUUCUCUCGCUGCUGCAUCUGCUCUAAGCUACUGCUGGAGUUCUUCAUAUCUUUUUUGAACCUCAACUUCUCUCGAUGUUGCCUCCGCUUUAAGUUGUGUAAUUUGCUCACUUGUUCUCUCUUGCAUCUGAGCCAUCUGGUCUCUUAACCUCUGAACUUCAGCUUCAGCUCGACUCCCCAACGGCAUAUAUUGUUGCGAGCUAGAUCCAAAAUAUUGGGAUGGGUUAACAAAAGAUCCUUGAAAUCGAACUCGACCAUACCUUUCAGGACCCAAAACUUCAGUGAUAAUCCGAUUAUCAAUGUCGUCAAUAUGAACAGAACUAUCACUGGAAUCAAUCGCUUCAUACUCCGCCUUUUUAUCCUUUAAUUUUUCCUAAAAAAUAAAUCACAUAGUUAGGAACGCAAUAUAUAUUAAAAAACCCAAUGCAACAUAACUUAACAAUAUUUGUAUUACAAUAAAUGAAAUAAAUCAUUUAUUAAUAAAUACUAUAAAUAAUUAAAACAAGUGAAAUUGUAUGAAGCAAACGUACCAUAAUUUCUGCAGCUUCAGGAGUCAUAGGGUUUCCAUCUUUCUUCCUAUGUGUUAUGUCAAAAAGUUGAAGGCGGCCAACUUUUUGACCGGACGACAGUUCCUACAAUACAAUAGUAAAAAUAUUAAUUGAUAGAAAGUAAUAAAUAUCUGCCAAUAUUAAAAAAUUCAAAAUACCUCUGCAUGAGCUACACACGCAAAACUUUUUGACCCAGCUGUGUGAGUGAAUUUUUAUUGCUCCCUACUUUUUUUUUCAACUUGUUCACGAUCCUACAUUAUGAAAUUAUUAGUACGUUAAUUAGAAAACACUAUACACCAAAAUAAGUACAAAAUUUUAUAAGUUAUACAUACCUCUCCUUUCUUCGAAGUCCAAAAUCUAACAACCUCUUCCCACUGGUACCUCAACAUUCCCGGCGGGACAUUUUGUAAUCUCUCGUCAAGUGUUGUUUUUGUCUUGAAAUAGUCUUUUUUUAAAGUGCUCUUAUGGUCUCUCCAUCUUUUUCCCAAUGCCUUCUUUAUAUAAGCAUCGGAGACCUCUAGAGCAAAUCUCGCCUACAAAAAACACAACUUAAGAAAGUAAAUGUAAACGAAACUUAAACCCAAGUAUUAUAAAUGACAUACACGUUUUGUUACCUUAAUCAAAUCGAGAGCUUGGUUCUUGUUACUCUCGGGCACUUUAUGCCAUGACUCGAAGUUAAUUGGCAACAUAUUUGCAUUCCGUGCUAAAAUGCCCAUGUAUCCUGCUAAAAGGCGAGCUUCUGAUCCAACAGGCUGACCAAAGCUAUUACUGGAUACUUGGACACGCUCGACUGGAUCUAGAUCGUAUAAAUCGCUCAGUACUGUACGUCCGCGAACUCUCCGAGUCCCACCAGUUUCAUCUGAAAAAUAAAAGUAUUGUAAUAUACGAAAUUUAAAAAAAAAAAACAAGAAGUCAACACACAUGUAAAUUAAAUGUUAAAUUACUUUGAACUUCUAUAGGUUCCUCAGGUGUAACCGGAACAUUCGAAGAUCCAAUAGCAAUCUGUUGUUCAGUGCUAUUUGUUUCCGCCGAGUUUGGAGUACCUUGAACAAUGCGGUGCGAUCACACUUUUCUUCUAGGCAUUUUAUCUGCAAUACAAAUAAAUUAGUGUGAAAAACUUAGUAUACAAUUACAAUAAUAAUAUCACAUAUAAAAUAGUUUAAAUAUCAUCAUUCGUAAUUUAAGUAAGUUAUGUAUAAUAUUAAUUAACUUAUGUAAUUUAAGUAUAAUAUUAAUGUAAGUUAUGUAAUUAAUGUAUAAUAUUAAUUAAUUAAGUCAUGUAAUUUAUGUAUAAUAUUAAUGCAAGUUCUGUAAUAUAUGUAUAAUAUUAAUUAAUUAAGUUAUGUAAUUUAUGUAUAAUAUUAAAUAAUCAAGUUAUGUAUAAUAUUAAUUUUUUUAUACAUUUUUUUGAACAAAUUUAAGUGCCAAAUAUAUAUAUUCCACUACUUUUUCCCCCUAAAUCCUAGGUUUAAGGCUUGUUGGGUUGCAAAUGUAAGCCUAAUUCAUUUUUAAUGAACCCUAUUAACCAAAUUCGACUUUGAUUUUUCUUAAUGACUUAUUAGAGAAAAAACACUACACCAAAACAGGCUUUUAGCGGCGCUUUUUUUGGCCUUUAGCAGCGCCGCCAAAAAUGCCGCUAAUGACAACGUCGCUAACUUUAGCGGCGCUUUUACCACAAAUGCCGCUAAAGACCAAGAUCUUUAGCGGCGCUUUUCCUACAAAUGCCACUAAAGACCAAGAUCUUUAACGACGCUUCUCCUACAAACGCCGCUAAAAAUUAUGACCUUUAACGGCGCUUCUCCUACAAUCGCCGCUAAAGACCAUGACCUUUAGCGGCGCUUCUCCUACAAACGCCGCUAAAGACCAUGACCUUUAGCGGCACUUUUCCUACAAACGCCGCUAAAGACCAUGACCUUUAGCGGCAUUUUCCUACAAACGCCGCUAAAGACCAUGACCUUUAGCGGCACUUUUCCCUCAAACGCCGCUAUAGAAUAGACCUUUAGCAACGCUUUUGACACAGACGCCGCUAAAAAUAUCUUUUAAAAAAAUAAUUUUUUUUAAAUAAUAUUUAUUUCUAUAAUAAAUAUUAUAUUAUGUUUUAAGGAUAAAUAAAAAAUAUUAUUUAAAUUAAAUUUUCUACAAAAAUUUUAACUUUAAAACUAAAUAUAAAAAUAAAAAUUAAUGAAUUUAAAUUUAGAAUUUAUAAUAAUAAAUUAAUAACACAAUUAAAAUCUAAAAGUUAGAAAACUUAAGUAAAAAUAAAAAUUUAAAAUCAAAACUAAAAUAAAUAAUACAUAUGCAAGGUAAUUAAAUAUACAAUGCAUUUUCUUAAUCAAAGUAAAUCUUGGUUACAGAACUAACACAAAAAAUAACACAGUAUACAGUAAGUUUCGUCUUUCACAUUUAAAAAAUAAUAAUAAUAGCAUGUUUGUUUGCAUGCUACCAUGAUCAAAACACAAAAAUGAAGUGAAAGUAUGCAAAGGUUUUCCACCUGAUACAAAUUUCUCCUACGAAUGUGCAGAAUCAGAUGUCUAGAUUCUCAGAGUUCUUCAUCUGGUGCUGUCUCGAUGGUUUUGGUUAUUGUGUCAUCUAGCUAGAUUCAAAAAAAGAAUAGAAUGCAAAGCAUGUUAUACAUUUGGACUCCAAAUUUUUAGCAACUUAAAAGAAUGCUAAGCAUGUUGUCCAACCUUCCAGUACUCACAAGGAUCCUGAGUAAAAAUGAAAUCAGACCUCACCACUUAAGAUAAGACGCCUACACAACUAAUUACAAAAACGAAAAAGAUGAGAAAAAAUAACAAUGUAAAAAAACACUAAAAGAACUAAACAUGUACUUCGCAAGUAAAUGAAAUAGAUGAUACUAACAGUCUUUAGCACGAUAGCAGAUCUCAUCACCCAAAACUCGCAUAGUCUCCAUGAACCUGCAGGUGGCGUAGCAUGUAUAUUAAGUUUCACUUACUUAUCCACAUCAAUUACAUUCUGACCAUUUGCAACAAUAUCAUAUAAGAAUUGCUUCUCCUUUGCACUCUUCAAAGUAAGCACAAAAUAGUGUAUGUGUUAGAUAAAGCAAAGAAACAAAGAAUGUCUGUACUUCAUAUUGGAGCAAAAUAUAAAAAAUCCAGUGAUCAACAUGUGCCUACACUUAAAAUAUAAAAAAACCAAUGAUCAACCAAAAUUAAACUAUUCAUCAAAAUGAUUGCAAUUAACUGAGUUAAAACAUGAUUUUUUUUUCUUUUCUUGCAAAUAUCUAAAGUUUUUUAUACCUUCCCAAAUGGUGAAACAAGCUGGUGAAGUGCUGUAAUUCUGUCUCCUAAUUUUUCUUUCCUCACCUGCCAUAUAACAUAUAUAUAUGUAUAUAUAUACAAGUCAGAAAAAAAAAAGUAGGUGAUUAAUUUACUAUUUUACUUUCACUUAAACUAUAUUCUCUUUUUCAUACAUUAAUCUGUAAAACGAAGACUCCCCCAAAUUACUUCAGAUGUCUCUCUUAAAUUCUAUUUAAAAAAAUUAAAAAUCUAUAAAAAAAAUCAAUUACUAUAAAAAAAGAAGAGAUAAGUGUGAAUUAAAAAUAUAAUCCCAAAUACUGAUUCGAAUCAGCUGAUUUUUAACCUGAGAACAGCUGAUUUUUUCUCUUCCAGCAACCUGCACAACUCGACCUUUAACCCUACAACUUGCAUGUGAAUGUUUAUAAUAAAUUAAAGAGUAAAACAUCACAAAAGAGGCCAACAAAAUUUUCAUGCAUGAACUUAAGGCAAGCAAAUAUACAUUUUGAGUAAGAAGUGGCCUAUUAUCUAUUCAACUUGCCAAACAUUAGUUUGGCCUGUAAUGAAAUAUUGUAUUCAUCAAAAGGAAAAAUUAUAUACUACCUGCUGUUGAAGAUCUGGAACAAAAUCCGACUAAGCAUCUCUUGUCAGACAGAGAAGAUUUUCAUCCGCAUUCAUUGAUUCGGACUUGGAACGUGAAAGAUCUCCAUUAGUUUUUGAAUCAACCAACUCUACUGUCUUAUUUGUUGAAGAUCUGCACUAUUUGUUGUUCAUGCUAUAUAAUUUACUUGCUCGACCAAAUUAAAGAAUAUUUAUAAAUAACAAAUUUGAAAUUUUACCAAAUAGUAUCUAAAAGUUAUAAAGCAAAAUUCUAUUUUGUCAAUAACCCAAAACCUAAAUAGAAAAAGCAAAAAGCAAAUCAAAGUGAAUUAUUAUGAAUAAUCUAAUAAUAUUAAAUAAAUUUAAAAUUUGAAUAUUAAAGUUUAAGAAAAUGGUUGAGAUGAAAAAAAAAUGAAGGUUGAGUAGAAACUUGAAAUUUUAUACAAAAGUAAUGUUUUAUUGAAAAUUCAAGUAAUCUAAAUUCUACAAUGCUUCUACUCUUAACUGUUUUGACACUAUUUUUUUUUAUAUUAGUAUACCUUUAUAUGUAUUUUUAUAGUGUUGGAAAAUUAAUAUAUUAUUUCCAAAAUUUCAACUUAAAUUUUAAUAUGUUUUAUUGUUGCACACUGUCUCCAAAUAACUUUUAAUUUACCCUGAUUUUAAAUAAUAAUAAAAAAACAAAACUGAAAAUAUAAAACCUGCCUUUUACAACAAACAUCCCAAAAAGAAGGACAACAAAGAAAAAAGACAAUUUAGAAAAAUAUUAGUUUUCUUACUCCAAUUUUAUAAACUAUAUUUCAUAAAUCCACAGUGCUAAAAAAGAUUUUAUAUUUUAAAAAAUAAAUGAUUUAUAAAUAAAAUUAUUAAAAACACGAAUAUAUUUUAAGAUGUGGUUUUAUCAAACUAAAGUAGAACAGAUUCGUUUUAUGUUAACUUUUCCUAAUAAAAACAAUAAAUUGUCUCUUUUCGGAAAAGAGGAAAAAAUGACCUUUUAUUCAGAUAAUUAUUCUUUAAAACAUAAAUUAUUGAGAUAAAUCAACAUUUAAUCCCUGAAUUUGAUAAAAAAAUUCAAAUUAGUCUUAAUCUUUUUUUUAAUCCACAUUAACUUUUAAAUUUCACAAGUAAUUGCCAUGCACAAACAUGGUACAGUCACUGCUAGGAUACACAUCAACCAUGGUAAAGCAAGCUUCCAUCAUUACUAUUUAUAUCAAGUAGAACGAACUUACAAUUGCCUGGUGCAGAUCAUUUUUGCUACUUUGGUCAGAAAUGUGCAGUUGCCCAAACACCUUUUUCCAUUGUGCAUUGGCUCAGACUUUAUGGAAAGUGAUAAAUAGUAAGCAUUUGAUCUGUUAAAGAAUCUUGCAGACUGCAAAUACCACAUCAGAAAAUUGCUAGUUGAAAUAUAAACAAGGGAGAUCCAUGAGUUACAAAGAGAACAAUAGGAUGGCCUUUUUAGACUCUAAAAGGGUGAUGUUAAGAACUUAAACAGAUUCCAUCACCUUUUACAAACUAUGAUUCGCCAUUCAUAUUUCUCUACUUCCAUGAUUUCCAACUAGGAAUUACUAGCAAUAAAUAUUGUUACCUACAUCAACAAAGCUGGAACUGUUUCAUGAUUCAUUUGCUCCCUAAAUAGACUAGAGUCAGAGUCAGUCCAACUGCUAUGUCUCAUACACCAUCCUGCAUGAGUUAUAAUCUGAUGAAGUGACCUAUACACCAUCCUGCAUGAGUUAUAAGCAGCAUACUGAAAUUAAUACAAUUGACCACUUCCAACUAAAAUAUAACAUUCUAAUAGAAAUUUGUAGUCUAAAAUUAUUACACAAAGCAUAGACAACAGCAGAAUUCUCGGUAUACCUCAUUUAAGUCUUCCAUUUGAAGUACUUUUUGUACAUCAACAGUAUAUAGAUUGUCUACUUCAGCGGAUUCUCCAAACCUCUCCUUCCAUACUGAAUCAAACCGCUGAUGAAGAAACAUUCAAUUUAAAAUUCAUAUAAAAUUGAUUUAUCAGACCCUAAUCUAACAGCAGAGAGAUGAAAAAUGAGCAAUCAUAUAACUGCUUAGCACAUUGUAUGAAUAAACACAAACCCUCUAACCUUAGAUCCCUACUUCUGAGAUACAUGCGAAGAAGGCAAUGUUCAAUUUAAAUCCCAAAUCAGACGGUUUAGGUUCAGAGAAAAUUGAAGAUAGACAAGAGAGGAAGGGGUGGACGCUUUAACCGUUUACGGAAUACGGAUGUAAACAUAAACUGCUGCCCGACAACCACCAUCUUCAAUGCUAAAAAUCGCUAAACAUUUACCUCUAAAAUUUAUCAUUCUAUCCGGGAUUCAUAGGCAAAACACCAACAAUAUUUGGAACUUGCGCAAUACCAAAAAUGAGAAAAAAGGAAAACUUGAGGAUAAUUUGAAGGAGGGUUUGGGUUUUGCUUGAAGGAAUUUGGGUUUUGGAGGGAAGGGUGGAAGGGGAAAGUGUGUCGACAAGGAUGCAGAGGGCUGCCGAUUUGGGGAAAUUAGGGGGCGAAAUAAAGGGAAUCGGGGUAGGGGAGAAAUGGCUUGGGAAAAAUAAAAUAGGGGAAAAAGAAGAAGAGAUUUCUAGGGAUGGGGGGAAUCGAUUUUGGGAAAAAGAAGGGGAAAAAGAAGAAUAUUUCAUUUGAAAUUUUGGGCUAAAAAAAUAUAUAAACACAAAA